Molecule: long non-coding RNA, 64782 nt
Filed under: Solanum pimpinellifolium
Lineage: Eukaryota; Viridiplantae; Streptophyta; Magnoliopsida; Solanales; Solanaceae
Description: long non-coding RNA (SPIM_LNC000099)
Source: RNAcentral
CCAGUUUACAAGUCUCCACCACCUCCUAAGAAAUCACACUACCCUCCACACACACCAGUCUACAAGUCUCCUCCACCACACCACCACCAUCCCGUUUACAAGUCUCCACCACCGCCAACUCCUGUUUACAAGUCGCCACCCCCACCCAAGAAGCCACAUUACCCUCCACACACUCCAGUUUAUAAGUCACCACCACCACCAACUCCUGUUUACAAGUCACCACCCCCACCCAAGAAGCCACACUACCCUCCACACACCCCAGUUUAUAAGUCACCACCACCACCAACUCCAGUUUAUAAGUCUCCACCACCACCCAAAGAGCCACACUAUCCUCCACACACCCCAGUGUACAAGUCACCACCACCACCGGUGAAGCCAUACCAUCCUGCACCAACACCAUACCAUCCUGCACCAGUAUACAAGUCUCCACCACCACCAACUCCCGUUUACAAGUCACCACCACCACCAGUGAAGCCAUACCAUCCUGCACCAGUAUACAAGUCUCCACCACCACCAACUCCCGUUUACAAGUCACCACCACCACCAGUGAAGCCAUACCAUCCUGCACCAGUAUACAAGUCUCCACCACCACCAACUCCCGUUUACAAGUCACCACCACCACCAGUGAAGCCAUACCAUCCUGCACCAGUAUACAAGUCUCCACCACCACCAACUCCCGUUUACAAGUCACCACCACCACCAGUGAAGCCAUACCAUCCUGCACCAGUAUACAAGUCUCCACCACCACCAACUCCCGUUUACAAGUCACCACCACCACCAGUGAAGCCAUACCAUCCUGCACCAGUAUACAAGUCUCCACCACCACCAACUCCCGUUUACAAGUCACCACCACCACCAGUGAAGCCAUACCAUCCUGCACCAGUAUACAAGUCUCCACCACCACCAACUCCCGUUUACAAGUCACCACCACCACCAGUGAAGCCAUACCAUCCUGCACCAGUAUACAAGUCUCCACCACCACCAACUCCCGUUUACAAGUCACCACCACCACCAGUGAAGCCAUACCAUCCUGCACCAGUAUACAAGUCUCCACCACCACCAACUCCCGUUUACAAGUCACCACCACCACCAGUGAAGCCAUACCAUCCUGCACCAGUAUACAAGUCUCCACCACCACCAACUCCCGUUUACAAGUCACCACCACCACCAGUGAAGCCAUACCAUCCUGCACCAGUAUACAAGUCUCCACCACCACCAACUCCCGUUUACAAGUCACCACCACCACCAGUGAAGCCAUACCAUCCUGCACCAGUAUACAAGUCUCCACCACCACCAACUCCCGUUUACAAGUCACCACCACCACCAGUGAAGCCAUACCAUCCUGCACCAGUAUACAAGUCUCCACCACCACCAACUCCCGUUUACAAGUCACCACCACCACCAGUGAAGCCAUACCAUCCUGCACCAGUAUACAAGUCUCCACCACCACCAACUCCCGUUUACAAGUCACCACCACCACCAGUGAAGCCAUACCAUCCUGCACCAGUAUACAAGUCUCCACCACCACCAACUCCCGUUUACAAGUCACCACCACCACCAGUGAAGCCAUACCAUCCUGCACCAGUAUACAAGUCUCCACCACCACCAACUCCCGUUUACAAGUCACCACCACCACCAGUGAAGCCAUACCAUCCUGCACCAGUAUACAAGUCUCCACCACCACCAACUCCCGUUUACAAGUCACCACCACCACCAGUGAAGCCAUACCAUCCUGCACCAGUAUACAAGUCUCCACCACCACCAACUCCCGUUUACAAGUCACCACCACCACCAGUGAAGCCAUACCAUCCUGCACCAGUAUACAAGUCUCCACCACCACCAACUCCCGUUUACAAGUCACCACCACCACCAGUGAAGCCAUACCAUCCUGCACCAGUAUACAAGUCUCCACCACCACCAACUCCCGUUUACAAGUCACCACCACCACCAGUGAAGCCAUACCAUCCUGCACCAGUAUACAAGUCUCCACCACCACCAACUCCCGUUUACAAGUCACCACCACCACCAGUGAAGCCAUACCAUCCUGCACCAGUAUACAAGUCUCCACCACCCCCAACUCCCAUUUACAAGUCACCACCACCACCAACUCCUGUUUACAAGUCACCACCACCACCGGUGAAGCCAUACCAUCCUGCACCUACACCAUACCAUCCUGCACCAGUAUACAAGUCUCCACCACCACCCGUGAAGCCAUACCACCCUGCACCGACACCAUACCAUCCUACUCCAGUAUACAAGUCCCCACCACCACCAACUCCAGUUUACAAGUCACCACCACCACCAGUGAAGCCGUACCAUCCUUCACCAACACCAUACCAUCCUACACCAGUCCACAAGUCUCCACCACCACCCCACUAUGUUUACUCCUCCCCCCCUCCUCCCCGCCAUUACUAAGAAGCGACUUCAUUAUAUUUGAGGUAAUUAAGAUAAACUUAAACUUUAAAAAAUUAUAUGACUAAAAUGCAAUGCCAUAAUAAGUUGCACAAUCUCUUUAUGCAAAACAUUAAUAUAAAGACAUGUUGUCUACUUAUUUGGUUAGCUUUCUACUAUUUGUUCUCAUCAACAAUAUUAUAUCCUUAUGCAGGAAAAGAAGAAUGUUGAAGUGAAAGAAAGGCAUUUUCCAUUUUGGGGAUGCAAUGGAAAAAGAAGAAAAAAUAGAGUAAAUAAUAAGCUCCACAGGAGACGAAGUUCUUUUGUAGCUUCAUGUUAUCUAAGUUAGGGAUAUUGUUUGCACUCUAUAUUUAUAUUUUACUUUUAUUGCCUUUGUGUAUGCUUGCUCAGUUUCAAUCUCCUUGCAAAAUGCAGAGAUUAUGAGAUGAAUAAAAUAAGUUAUUACUACUACUAUAUGCUUUAUGUUUGACCUUCUCUCUACUCUUUUUUAUUUUAUUUUCUCCUUUUUUUCAUUUCAUUUUCUUUAUAUCAAAGUUUUAUCGUUUAGGAGAGGGCCAGGGAAAAUUAAAGAUCCAAAAUUAAUUAAUAAAUUUGAUUUCAUGUUUGAGAUAAAUUAGUUGAGUCGGAUGACUUUGCUAGUUUGUAGAAAAUUCGAGGCAUAAAUCACAUUUUAAAAAAGUACAUCCAAAUUUUAGAUUUUCUUUGCAAAAAGUAUAGCCAAAUAUAACUAAGUUCAAUUUCAACUUUAAAAUUUUUAAAUAAAUUUUCAUGAGCAAACAUCCCCUCUAUUGAAUCUGCAACAAAUAUGAGGCAAAAAAAUAAAAAAUAAAAAAUCUACAGCGAUAACAACCAAAAGGAAGAAGAUUAGAGUGAAAUAUGAAGAAUCGAGAAUCCACAAUCAAAUAAGCGCAGACCUUAUUUUUGUUAUCUUUGUUCAAGAAUCACAUCUCUUGAGUUAUCUUUCUUAGUUACUUUCAAGAUAUCAAGCACAUACUAGACUAUAUAUGCCUUAUAGAAAAAGAUGAAAAUUGUACAAGUUGUCCAAUAUUUUCUAGUUCUUUGUUCUAUUCUUAAUAAGCAUUGUAAUUUUCUAUUUGACAUAGUCCAAAUCAACUUUCCUCAACUUUUAAAUUAUAAAGUAAUCAAAUUCAACGUUCAAGGCUCGAGCCAUUUUACCGCUAGGCCAUUGAUACGUAUUGAUUAAAGAUUAUUAUAUAUGUUUUUGAAGAAAAAAUUAGAAAAAAAGAAUUGCCUCUCGAGGUUGAUUUCUUGUAUUUUUUUUUGUCUGUGAAAGAACCAACCUAGGGAGAUCACUUUUCAAAUUUUUUUCAUUUUAAAAAAUCAACCUCGUGAGGUUAGUUCGCAUUUUUGUGAUUUUUGGGCUAAAAAAUAGGGGUGGGCAUUCGAUAUUUGGUUCAGAAUUUUUAAAUUUCGAGUUUGAUAACUCGAUAAUUGGUAAUUAAAGGUAGAUAUCAAAUAUCAAAUUUCUAAUUUUCGGUUUAAUAAUUUGGUAAUCGAUAAAUCAAACUUUGGUUCGGUAUGGUAUUCGAUAAUACCAUAUUGAAAUUUAAGCCAAUUUUUUUACAAAGUUAAUACUAUUGCUCCAAUUACAUCUAUUUUUGUUUGUGAAGACAUGAUAUGAUAGAAGAUCAAUGAGAAAAAAUAAAUAAAUCAAGAAAAGUAAAUUGAGACAACUAACGACAUAUUAUUUGGAUUAUUUAUAUUUAUUCUUUAAAUUUCUCUUUGGACAUGUAUUAAUGUAACAACUCAUCUUGAUCUUGAGAUGAGAAGUCCCACAUCGACGGCAAAACACAAAAGAGAUGUUGAAUAUAUAAGUAAAUGACUGGUCUAUAUAUUGUGAGGCGCCUUUUGGGGUGAGCCCAAAGGGACAAAUCCGUGAUAGACUAGGCCCAAGAGCGGACAAUUCUUCAUAGUGUUGGGCCAGGUCGUUACAGGUGGUAUUAGAGUCACUCUUAUGUCGGCCUUGUCGAUGUGGUUCAGAGUUCAAUUGAGUUUAGGCAAUCCCGGUGAGGCGAGGCAAACCUCAGUGCUGAAUCUAGGUGAAUCCCAUACCUUGGGGCAAACCUCAACAAGGACGCUGAGUCCAUAGAGGGGAUGUAUGUAAUAACCCAUCUUGAGAUGAGAAGUCCCACAUCGACAAAACACAAGAGAGAUGCUGGAUAUAUAAGUAAAUGACUGAUCUAUAUUCUGUGAGACACCUUUUGGGGCUAGCAAAAUCAUUAUAAUUAAUGAGUGAUGCACAUGUUGAUAUACAACAAUAACUCAUUCCUUUGGAGUAAAAUCAAUGUUAGGACAUGCUAGCCUCACUAAUUGUAAUAAAUUACUCACCAAGAACUUAAUCAUUGACUUGUCUAUAACCAAGUUUAAAAAUGAUAAAAUUUGUGAUGCUAGCUUGUUCAAUAGGAACAUAUUAUUAACUCCGUAAAUUAGGAAAAUAUUGUUACUCCAUAGGGUGUGUUUGAUAUGGAGAAAAAUAUUUUUCAAUUUUUUCAUAUUUGAUUAGGUUAAAUAUUUUUCAAAUCAACUUAUUUUUCUCAAUUUAAAAAAAAAUAACUUUAAAAAACUAGGGAAAAUAUUUUCUAAAACUCUUCCCAAUUCCAAAUUAAUCCCCCCCUCCCCCCAAAAGAAAUAAUUUUUUUUAAAAAUAAAAUUAAAAGUUUAUUUUUGAAAAAUAUUCUACAUUUUAAAUUUUUUAUUUUUUUACUCCUUCCCUACCGAACUAGCCCCCCGCCCCACAAAAAAGAUUUAAUUUUUAAAACUAUUUUAAAUUUUAAAAAUUUUAUUUGUUUACUCCAUCCGUAUCCCUACCUCUUAUGAGCUCCCCACUCCACUCCUAAAUCUCUAAAAAAAAUAUAUUUUUAAAAAUAUUUUAAAUUAUGAAAUAUUUUCAUGUCAGAUAUUAUUUUUCUAAAUAUAUUUUCUACUUUCUAGCUAAAAAUAAAAGAUAUAUUUUUUUAAAUUUUUUUUAUUCGCUAACCAAAAAUAGAACAUAAUAUUAAAAAAAAAUAUUUUUCACUUACCAGCCAAACAUAAAAAAAUAAAUUAAAAAUUAACUUAUUUUCCUAGAAAAUUUUUUUCAUGAAAAACAUUUCCUCCCUGCCAAACUCAACCUUAAAAGGAAAAAAAAAAAGAGUAAACGAAAGAGGAUUAGAAGAUCUCUGACUCGUCUGGACAAAUAUUAUUUGUCUAAUAAGUAUGUCGGUAAGCUAAGAUCUGUACUUGGUUAUGAAUACAUAUCUCUUAGGACGAUUAAAAAUAUAAAUUUUGCUUAACUAAUGGAAUCUUAUAAUUGGAGAUUAGUAAUUUAACCUUUGUCGGUGACUAAUUAUGCUAAUAAUCAAUAAAAAGUCAACUUCGUUUGAUGAAUUAGCAAAUGGAGUCCUCCAUGUAGAUGUUACCAACAGAGUUCAAUUAUUGAAUAGUAUUCGUUUUUACUUUAAAAAUUAAAGUGAAAUUCAAUUUCUUUAUGUAAGUGUAUGACAACUUGGCAGUAAUUCAUUGAAUUCCAGGAAGAACAAAAACCAAUCACAUUUUAGAUUAAUUUACGUGUGGAAAUGAAAGAAAAUAGCAAUUACAAUCAUCAUUAUAGAAAUUCUAGUUAUGAGGACAAUAUUCUUUUAAACAGAAUUUUUAAAAAUUUUUGAAUGAUUUUUCCAUCGAUAAAAGUAUUGUAUCACUUUGAUCAAUAGAACAACAGAAGGACCUAACACAAUUCAAUUCCAGAUCUAAUAACAAUAAAAUCAUUAAAACGAAAGUUUCUUUCAAAAAAUCUCCAUGAUAAAAUAGGACAUUGUAAGAAGGUAGAUAUGCUUGCUAAAUCUUCUUAAACAAAAAAAAAAACAAGAGAAAGUUUAUAGUAUAAAGAUUCAGAUGAGAGGUCAAAAGAUAAUCCUUAAAUAUGGUAGCUAGCCUAUAAGUACAAAUUGUACAACUAACUGGACUUAAAGAGCAGGAACUAGCUGGAUCUAAAGUGCAUGCAACUAUCUGCACAUUAUCUACAAAAAAAACUAUCCUAAAUAUGCUAAAAAAAUAAGGAGACUUAUUCAACCUAUAAUAACUAAUAACAAAAAGCUAAGUAAAUAAAGAUAGUUAAUACACCCUCUCAAGUUAGGCAAGGUAUAACAAUGCCUUAUUUGGAACGACACCUAGUAAAGGCUGAUCUAGGCAGUGGCUUGGUGAAGAUAUCAACAAGUUGAUUACAAGAACGAGUAUGUGUACCAUGAACUCGAUGAGCUUGAACUUGAUCACAAACAUAUGCAAAUCUACAGCAAUAUGUUUCAUACGGGUAUGGAACAUUAAAUUGUGAGAUAAAUAAGUAACUUUAACAUUGUCAUGGUAGAUUGUUGGCGUAUUCGAGAUGGUGACAUGUAACUCAGGAAGUAAGUUGCUCACUCACGUAAUCUAUACGAGUGCAUUGGCAACUAAUUUAUACUCUACCCCAGUACACGAGCUAUCCGCAUAUUUUGUUCUUUUAAUUUUUUUUUCUUUUUUUUAAUCUGUAUAAUUGAAUAUUAACUUUCCAAUUCCUUUGGGGGCCAGUUUGAUUUUAUAUUAAUGAAAUUUGGAUUAAUUUAUAUUUUUAUUUUUACUUUUCUUAAAGAAUUUUUAGAGAAACAUAUUGGAGAGGGGCAUCAUAUUAAUUUGUUUGGUUGUUUUAUCAUGGAAUUACAUAAUCUGGGGAAUUUCCCAUAUUCACUUUUGGUACAAUAAUAAAAAUUUAUGAUAUAAAUAUUCUUAGAAUGACUUAUAUCGAAAAAUAGAAGUUUCAAUCAAAUGAUAAAAUAAUAUAUUUUACCUCAAAAUUAUUAUUCUUAUUUUUAAUAUCAAUUAAUGAUCCUAUGGUACCGUUUGAUCACAAAUAUUUUUGACAAAAAGAAUUGAGAAAAGGUUUGAAUGAUGGUGUUUGUCCAUAUAUGAUAAAUAUAUUUGGCAACAUCCCAAAUUUUCAAAUACUGAAAAAAUUAGUAUUUGAGCCAAGUUCUAAUACUUGAAAAAUAUUUAUUAAAAGUUAUCCCAAACUUUUAUAUUUUAUAAAAAAAUUCAGCAUUUAUUUAUUCCAAAUAAUAUUUAUGUAAUUCCUCCGAAACAGUUUGUCACGCCCCAAGAGGGUACCCUUGACGUGACUGACACUCGGAGACUAUUACUAGCCCCCAAGCGGACCACCUAGUCCCAUUGCCUUCGUUCGGUCAAUUCAAUAGCAGAAGAAAAUAAUGUAAUAAUACUAAUACUCAUCUAUCUGUGGGCUCAAUCUAUCAUGGAUGAAAUAAGAUAUCAAACGAAAGUCUUAAUGUCAAGAAAGAAGAGGGAAAGAACCCCCGACAUCAAACAUCAAUAUCUAUAUCUAUGAAGCCUUUAUACUACUGUCUGAGACGGUACCAUGACAGGCCAUGGCUACCAAGAAUCAUGUAAAAGACUAUAAAGCAAAGAAACUAAACAUCCUCCGAAUGUAGGGGAGGACUCACCACUAUCUGGAAUCCGAAAAGCUCUGAACCUCAAUAAUUUGGCUGCUGAAGUCCUCGGUCUAUCGAAUUUGCAUCAUAAAAGGAUGCAGCACCAAAGGAGCAUUAGUACGUGGGAUGUACCGUAUGUAAAAUAGGCUAAAAGUAAGCGAGGUAAGCAGGGUACGUGGAAACAUCAAUUCAUUAAUUGUUCAUCUCAUCUCGGAAUAAGAAGUAGAUACCAUUUCAUUCAACAUUCAUUAAGAGCCAUGCACUCACAUCAACAAAAGAGUACUGUCAAGAGGAAAUCCUAAAUGGGAGUUUCUCGGGCCUACACCCAUCACCUAUGAGCCAGUGAUAGUACAACAAAGCGAUGUCGUUGCGGCAUCCGCCCAGUACCUUGUCGAGGUAGAAGGCGUACAUUAAUGGAUCCAAUUUUGGUAUGAGUGAGAGUGGGACUCACUCUUACCCAUUUCGGUACUCGAUACUUCUCCCAUAGACUCAACAUGCUCAUAAACGCCAAUAUCCAUCCUUUGUCACCAUUUAGUCUCUUUCAGACUAAGACAUUAACUCAUUAUUCAUUCGUUAACUCAUUAUUCCUUCAUUAACUCAUUACUCAUUCAUUAUUCAUUCAAUUCAAGACCCGGACUACACCUACAAAUACAAUUAUGUGAUUAAGACUCUAGACAAAAUCCCUAUGUUCGUUCUUGUGGCAUUAAACAAGGGAAACAUGCAAUUUAAGUAAACAAUCAUAUAAUAAUGCAUAUAAUCAAUAGAUACAAGUAUGAUGAUCAUCAAUUUGAUAUAGUAUAUAUAAAUUAAAGAUAAUAUGCAAGAAAUAAAGAUUAUGUUCAAGAAAUCCUUCAAGAAUUACUACUCAAGACCUUCAACCAUCAAUUUAAAACUUAAUCUACACAUCGGGGCACAUGGAAGAACAAUUUCAUGUUUUUGGGUAGCCUUUACAUACCUGAGUUGAGGAUUGUACAAAUCUUCACCAAGAACUUGAACCCGAACACUCAAUCCUUAGGCCCUUCCUUGCUUGCUCCCUCAAAACUUACGCUUAAAACUUCUGAGAAUAUGGGUUUUUGAAACCCUUGUAUACGAAAUAGCUCUUAAAAGAAUGUUUUAGGGUAUUAAAAUGGGUUGAAAAAUAGCCAAAAUACCCUUCCCAAAUUUAAAAGAAAAUUCGCCACCAAAUUUACACUGGUCCGCGUAGCUUCAGUGUAUUUUCAAAAAUUUAACCUUCGUCAAAAAUUAAAGGAAAAACAUAAUUGUGGGUCCGCGAUGGGUUCGCGUCGUUGGCCUGUCGCGUACCCUCACUGUUUUGGGUCCACGAUGGAUCCGCGUCGUGACCCUGUGGCGUACCCUCACUGUUUUUUGGCCAACUUGAGAAAAUUAAUUUUUGACCUGGUCACUCUUAAAUCGAGUUGAUACCAUUUUCUCACUCGAUUUUUUGAGCUGAUUGCAAAUCCGGUCUCGGAUUUUCCAUCAGAGCUUUGGAAGACGCGUUGUGCGGAUGAUGUAUUUUAGGGGCAUUUUAGUAAUCUUACGAGGUGUUACACGAUUUGAAUUAUAAUUUGAGUGACAAGACCGAGAAAAAAGAACAAUUUGCUUUUAAUGGACUAUAAUUCCUACUAACUCAGUGAUAAGUUCGAAUAAACGAUUAAUAUAUUGAUCUUGUCCAUAUUGUUAUUUUAUUGUUGAUUGUUAUCGAUUAUAUUACAAAACUAUUUUUUAACGAACAUGUUUAUAAUAGAAUGAUAAAACAAACAUAGGAGUAUUUUAAAUUAUUUUUAAACUUCCUAGUAUAAAUCAUAUUUUUUGAAAUAAUCAAGUAUUCGUAAAAAAAAUAAUAUGGCUUCACCAAAACUUUACUCAAACAUAAAAAUAUGGGGCUUCACCAAACCUUCACUCAAACAUAAUUUAUGAAAAAUAUUUGAGAAUUUGAAGCCAAACCCUACCUAGACUUUAAUUCACUCUUCCCGGUCCUUUUCUUUUGAUCUUUUCACAUACCAAUUACAUUAACAUUAACCAUAAAGGCUAUUUGACUAAAUAACUCCCACUUUUUCUUUCUUAAAUGUGUAAUCGACAUUGACUAUAUUACCUAUUGAAAUAAUAUGAAAUUGGAAAAGAAAAGAGUUAAUAUAUAGUUAAAUGCUCCUUUAAUUUAAAUUUGAUGCACUUUAUUAAAUGUAUACUUAAAUUAUGACAAGUUUUAAUUAUCCCCUCAAACAUGGAGUUUUGGAAUUACUUAACUAUAGGAAGUCUUAAAUAUCCCCUUAAAUAUGUGAUUUAUAGUCUCACAAAUAUUGUUGAGUCAUUUAGGUCAGAUCUCUUUUCUAAAUUUUAUGUCAAAUCAAACUACAUCAUAUAAAUAGGAACAAAGAUUAUAUCAUUUUACAUUAUUAGAUGUCAAUGUGAAAUAACUAUAUGAGGUGAAGAUAAAUAAUAAAGUACAACAAAUAAUUUUCGUUUUUAUUUAUAUAAUGUAGUUUAACUUGACACCAACUUUAAGAAAGAUGUAAUCCAAAAUAAGUCAUAUACAUGCAAUUUGAUGUCUUGAGCAUGAUUAAAAUGUUGAUAACCUUUUUUAAAUGACGAAACAGUUUGAAGCGUUAAAACUAGAUUUCAAUAACUUGAUUUGCUAUAGUACUUCAUGGAUAAAGUUAUUAUAUGUUGGGAGUUGUGAUUAUUUGAAGUUAUAAGAUAUAUGCUACUCCUUUCGUUUACUUUUACUUGUUACUAUUGUUAAGUGAUGUUGUAUUGGUUUUACAACUAGUAUUGUGUGACUAGUUAGUUGAAGUUAGUCAGAGGACUUAACUAAUUCUGUUAGGAGCUAGUUACUUUUAUUGUUAAGUAAAUUGAGGAUGUUCUAUAUAAGCAUCUCUAGAUUGUAAUUGUAAGUUAGAAAAAUCAAUACAAUCUUCUCUUCUUCUCUUCAAUAAUGUGAUCAGUAGCCAAACAUAGAAAAACUAAUAUGGUAUCAGAAAAAAGAUCUUAAGGGAUCCGUAGAAGUUUCCGAGUAGAAGAUUGACCUUCAUUGUUGAGGUUGAAGAGGAUGGCAAGUUCAGAAGCAUCACAAGGAGGAAAGUUACAGGUUUCACAGCUAGAUUACACUAAUCCAUUAUUCUUACAACUAUCAGACACUCCAGGAGCUCUGUUGAUUGGGCUGAAGUUGACAGGGCUAGAGAAUUAUACACUAUGGAGUAGGAUACCAUAUCAAUUUUUCUAUGUUUGGCUACUGAUCAUAGAAUUGAAGAGAAGAAGAGUAGAUUGUAUUGAGUUUUCUUCAUAGAUUCAACUUCUUCUUUUUUACUUUUAUUUUCAGCUUUUUCUUUCUUGGAUUUAGAUGUUGAAUCAGCAACAGAAGCACCUUUCUUGGAAGCUGAAUUUGAAAGGCUAGAUUUUGAUAAACUUUUCAAGGACUUAGUAGUGCUACCCUUUUCUGUGGCCUUAGUCUUCUCCUCUGCUUUACUCCCCGAAUCCUUCUUCACACUCUUCCUUGAAUAAAUCUCCUCAUUAGACUUGUUUUUCUUUAGUUUCUCUUCCACGUCCUCUUCCUCUUGUUUCUCACCUUUCUCAGAACUAGUCUCUUCCCGAUCACUUCCUUCUUUAGGAGCUUCAUCAUCAUUCUCAAAGUCAUUUUCGCUAUCUGAUGGUUGUUCAUCAUCAGCUUCUUCUUCCUCAGUUUUGAUGAUUGCUUGCGUUUUACCCUAACUUUAUAUUUUUGAUGCUUUUUGAGCGACUUAUCUGAAGAAUCUGCGGUUUUGCUAGCUUAACUCUUUCUCUUUUGCUUUUUACCCUUCUGUUCCUUAUCAGCAAGCAAGGAACUUGUUGUAGGAUGAGGAGAUUUCAAGAAUUCUAAUAACUUCACUGAGAGCUCAUUCUUCUUUGCAUAAGUCAAUCCAACAACUUUUCCUUAACACACUUGCCCAACUUCUCUUUGAUUUUUCACCUUUGUUUUUCUUAUUUUCAACCCAAACAAAUCCUGAAAACUGUCCUAUGUUUUUCUUCAAACUAUGCACCUUCAAUUUCUUAUCAGAAAGAGUGUUGUGAAGCAUUUGCAGGUUAUCAUCGGAUUUUCUCUUGAAUAGUUUGUAAGCCACAUUUGGUAUAUCCUUCAGCUGAGUGCCACUACCCUUCCUAAUUGACAAAGGCUUAGGCGUGGAACUUCUAGCCUCUGAAGACACAGAUAAGCGCAUCACAGUUUUUCUGUCCCUAGUCAGCCUUGAGAUUGGUGUCAUGGGCUCUUCCGUACUCUCAAAUUUGCUUUUUGCCUUCUUCGCUGGUUCUUCUUCUUUUUCCUCCUCUGAUUUGUCGACUUGCAUUUUGUCAACUUUCUCUUUCUCUUCCUCUGCUUCAGCUAUCACUUUCUCUUGUCCUUUAUACGGAAGAUUCCUUGUCCUUAUCCUUCGCUUCUUGCUUCUCAAUCACCUAUUCUGGUUUCUUGUCAUCUAGGGUUUCCUUCUCGGACGCCAUAGAAGGAGAAGAAUUCUACUACUCCAUAGCUGCAAAAGGAGUAACAAAGCCCUAGGUGGAGAUUUUGGUUUGGGGAAGUUGCAGAUCUAGAGCUAAAAUGUUAAAGAUAAAUGAGACACAACAAUAUCUUUGUAUAGUCUUUCUUAUGGCUAAUUAAAGUAGGCUUAAGUUUCCAACUAGUACUUCUUCUACUUCUAGUUGUUAUGGGGACCAUUUAUAGUACCUAUCUAUGAUAGAAAAUUAUAUUUUGUAACAAUGGUAGAUGACUACAACAGGUACACUUGGGUAUGUUUGAUUACAUCCAACGUGAGGUGGUUGUUGUAUUGAAGGAAUUUUUUUUUGUAUAAAGAGCAGAAUCAAUAUGAUGUUAAUGUCAAAAUCUUAAGAUCUGAUAAUAGAAGAAAAUUCUUCAAUUUAAGUUGUAAUGAAUUGUUUUCUUCAGUAGGUAUCACACACAAGAGUAGUUGUCCAUACUCCUCAAUAAAAUAAAGUUAUGGAGAGAAAGCAGAGACACAUUAUAGAUGUUGCAAUAACUUUAAAAUUUCAAAAUGGUGUUCUACAUAAGUUUUGGGGAGAUUGUGUGAGAACAAUUGUUUAUCUAAUUAAUAAGUUGCCUUCUACUGUGUUGAAUGAGAAGUUUCCAUUUGAAGUUUUACAUGGGAAGCCUGCAGUACUUGAUCAUCUCAGGGUGUUUGUGUUUUGCUAAUAUGUUACCUAGAUGCAGUAAGUUUGAUCCAAGGGUGAGGAAAACUGUUAUGCUUGGUUAUGUAGAAACAAAAAAGGGAUAUAGGUUGUUUGACUUAGAAAUAAAUACAUUCCUUAUAAGUGGGGAUGUGAGUUUCAGAGAAACAAUAUUUCCCUUUAAAGGAGCAAGGAAGGAUCUAGAUGACAUAUUUUAUCCCGUGUCCUCAGAAAUAAUCUAUGAGGGCAAACCUUUGUCUACACUUACUGAAGAACAAGUCAUACAAGAUGUAUGUGAUAGUCACAACUUGAUAGAAAAUGAAAAUGCCACUACAAGAGAGACACCAGAUGACUUAAAAUCAAAGUUCAAUGAAGUAAAUGAUUUAGAUCUAGUGAUUGAUAGAACUGUACUUACUGAAGAAGUUAUUACUCAAGAUGAAAUUAUAGAUUCAGAAGCAAGAAGAAGCAGUAUUAGGACAUCUAGACCCUCCAUUUGGAUGAAAAACUAUAAGCUGAUCAAGAAAAGAGCUAAUCAAAUAUCUUUGUUUCCUAUAUCCAAGUACAUUUCUUAUUCCUAAUUAGCACCUCAUUACUAGUCAUACCUAAGAGCUUUCUUAGCUUCACUAGAGCUUCAAUCAUUUCAGAAAGCAUCCAAUGACAAGAGGUGGAUUCAAGCAAUGAAACAGGAAAUUCAAGCAUUGGAGUAAACGCACACUUAGGACAUAGUGGAUCUUCUAGCAUAUAAGCAAGCUAUAUGGUCUAAAUGGGUGUAUAAGAUCAAGUACAAAUCUAAUGGAGAGAUAGAGAGGUUUAAGGCCAGGUUGGUAACAAAAGAAUAAACCAAAAGGAAGGUUUGGAUUUUCAUGACACUUAAAAUGGUAUCAGUUAGAACUGGGAUCGCUUUAGCUGCUUCUAAGAAUUGGGCUAUAUUUCAAAUGGAUGUCGGUAAUGCUUUCUUGCAAGGAGAUUUGUUUGAGGAUGUAUAUAUGAAGAUGCCUCAAGGUUUUUGUAAGAAGGGAGAAAACAAAGUAUGCAAGUUGGUCAAGUCCUUAUAUAGACUGAAGCAAGCUUCAAGGCGGUGGAACAUGAAGUUUAUUGAUGCUUUGGUCACUGUAGAAUACUCACAAAGUAUUUAUGAUCGUAUAUUCACCAAGAAGGAAGAGAUGAGCAUUGUCAUUAUACUUGUUUAUGUGAAUGAUUUAUUGAUUAUAGGAAGUACAUAUGAGCUGAUAGAAAUAGGACAAGAAGAUGUUACAUCAUCACUUCAAAGUUAAGGAUUUAGGUGAUCUAAGGUACUUCCUUGGCAUUGAUGUUAUGAGAUCAGAAAAGGGGAUACUUUUGAAUUAAAGGAAGUUUUGUUUGGAACUGAUAUCAGAAGCAGUACUGAGUGGAUCCAAACCUGCUUCUACACCACCGGAAAUAAACCAUAAGCUCACAAUUGUUAAGUAUGAUACUCAUGUGGGAAACAAGGAUGAUCCUGAGCUGGAUGACCUAGUUGACUAUCAAAAGUUGAUUGGGAAGUCGAUAUACCUCACCAUAACAAGACCUGAUAUAUGUUUUGCAGUGCAAGUCUUGAGUCAGUUUAUGCAAAGGCCUAAAAAAUCUCAUAAGGACGCAACUACGAGGGUAGUGAAGUACUUAAAGGGAUCACCAGGACUUGGAUUGUUUUCUCCAUCCAACUCAAUGCAAAAAGUAACUGUAUACUGUGAUUCUAAUUGGGAAGCUUGUCCAAAUACCAAAAGAUUAGUGACUGACUAUGUGGUAAAACUAGGGGAUGCUCUUUUGUCUUGAAAAUCAAAGAAGAAGUAGACAGUAAGCAGAAGCUCAACAGAGGCUGAAUACAGAAACAUGGCUGUAGUAAUUACAGAAUCGACUUGGAUUUGUGGUUUACUGCCAGAGGUGAAUUGUAAGGUGUUCAAGUCUGUUAUCCUAUAUUGUGACAAUCAGGUAGCCAUACAAAUAGCCUUUAAUCUAAUAUUUUACGAGAGAAUAAAGCACAUUGAGAUUGAUUGUCAUUUUGUUAGAGAAAAGGUGAAGAAUGGUCUGAUCAAACCACAAUUCAUUCCAAUAGGUUCUCAACUUGCAGAUGUCCUGGCCAAGAGUCUAAGCAUAAAUCAUCAUCAACUAUUGAUCUCUAAUCUUGGUCUGUUCAAUGUGUUUUCUCACACACUAGCUUAAGGGGGAGUGUUAAGUGAUGCUGAAUUGGUUUAACAAUUAGUAUUGUAUGACUAGUUAGUUCGGAGUUAGUUAGAGGACUUAACUAAUUCUGUUAGGAGUUAGUUACUUUUCUUGUUAAGCAAGUUGAGGAUGCUCUAUAUAAGCAUCUCUAGAUUGUAAUUUUAUUAAGUUAGAAAAAUCAAUAAAAUUUACUCUUCUUCUCUUUAAUUCUGUGAUCAGUCGCCAAACAUAUAAAAACUAAUAACUAUUUUAUUUAUUGAGGACAAACUAUAUGAACGUUUUAAGAUGUAUUUUUUAAUCAUAUUUGUCACGAUCCAAGCCUAGGGCCUAAAUGUGGCAUGGCAAAUGGGAAGUCCAAAAACCUCCCAAAUAAGCCUCUUAGCAUAUCAUGUACAUAUCUUUAGUUACGGAAGCAAAAUAAAACAAUAAUAAGAGUCAAUUAUAAAAAAGGAAACGGUACUAAGAAAAUUCUUUCAUAAUCAUAAAACAUAAGAAGAGUCAAGCUCAUAAGCAUAUACAAUCAUAGUAUCCAACAACACCUCUACUAGAAAAUGGAGUGGGGGCCAAGACACUUUCCGAGCUCAUCCUCAUAGAUAAAUAGCCAAAAUGUACAUAAUAAAGUCUUAACAAGCAUGAAGGAAAAGUAGAUAUUGUCCUCGGAGUUGAGGACUCACCAAAGCUUUCUUCAAAUGAAUCGAACUAGCCACGUGGAGGAGGAUGAUCAAUAAGAGCUCUGGUCCUUACAUGGUGAUAUUAUGUAAGCAUAGAGUAUGUGUUAGUACUUGGAAUAUACUAAGUAUACGGGAUGCAAUGCAACAAAGACAUAAGUCAUAAUAUUCAAAAUGUAUAAAUAUAGACAAUGGAUAUAAUCUCAAUAUGACAUAAAUGAUCAAUACUUGUAAUAAAACAUGCAUGUAAAAUAUUCAACUUGUAUAAUGUAACAUACGUAUGUGGGAGGAGACCUUAACUGACAUAUAAGGCCAAACGAGCUACUACUUGAAAUUUUGAAGCAUGAUACCCCCUCAAAAAAAUGUGGUCUACUUGCCAAGGUAAACCAUGUUUGGCCCCACUUGAGGGAAAACAUGAACUAGAUGGAUCCACUAGUGAUCUCUUUAAGGGAAAAUUAAUCCUAUAGUGGCAUAUAGUUUAGAGACUAAAGUCUUUAUAUAAGGACCCCUUGAGUCGAGCCCCCACCUUAAGCCUCAAUCAGUGCUAAGUCUAAUCCACGAAAUACUUGAAAUAGUCAUAACUUUAAUCAUAACAUGCAUAACUUGUAAGAAACAUGAUAACAUGACAUGAGUAGCUCAUUCACAUGCUUGACCUCUACUAGUGAGCUUAACUUGAACAUGAGAGUAAAAUAGUAAUCAUGCUUGAUCCUUCAACUUGACAUGAAUGGCUCACAAGAGGGUAAAAUCUUGAAAUAGGACUCAACUUGUCACUUGCACAAAUCAUCUUUCGUGAAUUAAAUACAUGCUUGGGAGCCCAUAAUUAUCUUGAAAUACUUGACUUGAAAAAUGUGCAAUAGUUCAUCAACAACUUAAGAAGCCUUGUCAUGUAAUUUAGUCAAACACAUGGUGGGUAUAUGGACACUCCAAAAUAAGCAAUUUAUAGAGUAAUAACAUAAGAGAGUAAAGUCAACCGUUUUAAGAUCAUGCAAAUCAACCUACAAAUUGUAGUAGUAAAACCCUUAAUUUGGGUAUCAUGAAAUUCAUCUCAAAAGUUCACAAUAGUUCAUAGUUUUCAUAACUCAUAUUAUGCAUAGUCUCAAUAGACAUAAAUCAACAAUUGAAAUAAGCUUAAAAUGAAUGUUCAUGCAUAAUCUAUCAAUGCUUGAUAAAACUCAACAUAUCUCAUAUUUAUAAUGCAUAAUAACAAAUACCCAUGAAGAAUCAAACCUUGAAAUCAUGAAAUUUUAUAAAAGGGAGAGUUGGGCUCCAUGGGUGAAAGCACCCAUGUGUGAAAGGACUGCAUAUCUUAAACCUUGAACUUCUUGAAAUUGAAUUGGGGAAGACUUGAAGCUUGUAAUGCGUUCUUAAAUUUCAAAACUUGUCCUUAAAAUCCUUGAAUUUGAAUGGGGAUUUGAUGGUGUUUUUGGAGAGGUUUAGAGAGGAUUUUGCGAGUUCUAGAGUUGAAAAAUGACUAAGUAUGGAGAAUUUCACGUUUAAAUAGGCAUUGGUUUAUUACCCCCAAUGCCCUUGGAUGGAACAAGCAAACGGGGCACAAAAUGAGCAUAUCUGCGCCUAGGCCGCGUUGCGCCUGGGGUGCGGAUGCACAUCAUUGCAAAAAUUAUUUUUUUCGCAAUAGGUCUUCUAAAAUCUGGGGGUUACUCUUUUCCCACUCAAUUUUACCCUUGAACAAGAAUAUAAAGUCGGAUUUCCAAAAUCACGCACGAUUUUUGAGAUGUUUGAAAAAAAUACACUUAUGGGGCUUUCCAAAGCACACGAGGGGUGUUUCAACAUUGAGAUGAGAAGGAUUGCAACUUAUAGUAUUUUUCGUAUAGUUCUCAACCAUCUAAAGUAAAUUUUAAAUAUUAAAUUUAGGUUUGAAAUUUAGUCAAAUUGACUUCGAAAAAUGAAACAAUAACAAGUAAAAAUAAAAAGAGGGAGUAUUAAAGUUUCCUUCCUCCCUUAAACAUCAAUUCCCUGAUUCUGUAACGAUUGUAUAGUACUCAAAUAUAUAUGGUUCUUACUAUUUUGCUUUUGGAUACCUUUGUCUAUUGCUUGAAUAUGAUGAUAAACAUAGAUAAUUAACAUUCAAUAAUGUAAUAUUUUCUCCGUAUUAAUUUAUAUGAUAUAUUUUUAUUUUUGAUAUUUAAACAAGUCUUUUUUAACAGUAAUUUUUUCAUAUAUUCAUUAAAUAUGUUGCAACUUAUAAGAUUUUUUUAUGUGGUUUCUACAUAUGUAAAUUUUAUUUAAAUUUUUUUUAUAAAAUUUCAUAUCCAAAUUCAUGAACAAAGUAAAUUGUUUUAUUCUCAAAAUUAAAAUGAUGUCACAUUAAUUGAAGCAAAUUAGAUAGUAACUUAUUGUAAAAUCUUUGACAAAGGCAUAUCAUUUCUCUUAAACAAAAAAUAUGAUACUGUAUAUGUAUUGUUUUAAAUUUCCAUACUACAUUCUAUACCAUUAUUUAAGCACUUGUGUGGAGGUUUGUUCAGCAGUCAGAAUUCACAAGAACAAAUUAAAUUCUUCAAAGAUUGAGUGUGUUUGGUACGAAGGGAAUCUUUUUAAUUUUCUAAAAUAUUUGGUUCAUUAAAAUAUUUUCUACAAGAAAGUAAAUUUGUUAAGAAAAAUGAGGAACAUAACAUUACUAAUAGAAAACAGAAAAAAUAAAUUUCAUAAGUAACUUUCUAAUUUAUUGGCCCUUUCUGCCCAGCUAAUGACCUCAAUCUCAAUCCUCACCCCCUCCACCCCUAAAUUACCACUCUUCACACCAUCCCACGCUCAUCAUAUAUUUUAUUAGUUUAAUUAUAUAUUAAUGUUCUAAAGGUAUUAAUGUUUAUUUACUUAUCAAACACAAGAAGAAAAAAAACAAAAAACCUAAUUGUUUUUCAAGAAAUAUUUUCCUUCAUUACUAUGUAUAAAAAAAAAUAAAAUAAACAAAGUGCUUUGAUUUCUCUAACUAAAAUCAUGCAAAGUUGAGGCAUUCACGCAUUUUUUUGGGGUAUGAUUCUGUAAGAAGACUUUGUUGCUCUUUGAAUCAUUGCAUUACAAACAGUAGUAUAGCUACCUUUUUUUUAAUAAUUUAUUCAUUUGCUUAGCUUGCUACCUAUAUAGAUCAAAUAAAAAAAUAAAAACAAGAGUCAAAUUGAGCGGACAACAUGACAAAAACUAAUCAAAAUGGACAACUCUAUCAUUUAUGUAAAUCUUAAUAAGGGUAAAUCCAGUUCCAACAAUGCAUUUCUCGGAGCGAGAAAAAAUACACUUUACGUGCUUGUACAUAAAUUCAUAUUGAAAGUAGUCUAAUAGCAAUGAAUAUAAAUGAUUCCAAGAGAUAGUAAAUUCGACAAUCAGGCCACUUCCUAAAAAUAAAAAUUGGAUAGAAGCUCCGGAAUUAGAUACUUUGUACCUAUAUCAAUAUUUUGGUGGACUAUAAUAUUUUGGUGGGAUAUAAAUUUAAAUAAAUUAUUUAGAUUAGAUUCUAUAACUUUUUAUAAGUAUUAUAAUUUGCGUAAGUACAAGAAUAUAAUCUAAAUAAUUUGUUUAAAAUUUAUAUCCCACCAAAAUAUUAUAGCCCACUAAAAUAUUGAUAUAAGUACAAAGUAGCUUAAAAGGACAAUAACUUCGCUCAUUGUUUGAAAAAUGGGGAAAAUGACUUCUCCAUUUGCCACUCUUUUAGUUGUUUUAGUAUCAUUUAGCUUAGCUUCCAAAAUCUCAGCAAAUUAUCAAUCCUCAUCUCCCCCACCACCAAACAAUCUAUACCAUCCUUCACCAACACCUUAUCAUCCCGCCCCAGUUUACAAAUCACCACCACCGCCACCAACUCCGGUUUACAAUUCGUUGUCGCCGCCAUCACCACCCUAGGAAUCAUACUAUCCUCCACACACCCCAAUCUACAAGUUGCUACCUCCACCGACCCAAGUUUACAAGUCUCCACCUCCAGCAAUCCCAAUUUAAAAGUCCCCACCACCAUCCAAAGAGCCAUACUAUCCUCCGCACACUCCAGCUUACAAGUCUCCACCUCCACCAACUCCUGUUUACAAGUCUCCAUCACCACCGAAGGAGCCAUACUACCCUCCGCACACCCCAGUCUACAAGUCACCCCCUCCACAGACUCCAAUUUACAAGUCUCCACCACCACUAAAAAAGCCAUACUACCCUCUACACACUCCAGUCUAUAAGUCACCACCUCUACCGACCCCAAUUUACAACUCCCCACCACCACCCAAGGAGUCAUACUACCCUCCACACACACCAGUCUACAAGUCUCCACCUCUACCAACACCAAUUUACAAGUCUCCACCACCACCCAAGGAGCCAUACUACCCUCCGCGCACCUCAAUCUACAAGUCACCCCCUCCAGGGACUCGAAUUUACAAGUCUCCACCACCACCAAAAGAGCCAUACUACCCUCUACACACCCCAGUCUACAAGUCACCCCCUCCACCGACUCCAAUUUACAAGUCUCCACCACCACUAAAAGAGCCAUACUACCAUUCACACACUCUAGUCUACAAGUCACCACCUCCACCGAUCCCAAUUUACAUCUCUCCACCACCACCCAAUGAGCCUUACUACCCACCACACACACCAGCCUACAAGUCUCCACCUCCACUGACCCCAAUUUACAAGUCUCCACCACCACCGAAGGAGCCAUACUACCCUCUGUACAACCUAGUCUACAAGUCACCCCCUCCACUGACUCCAAUUUACAAGUCUCUACCACCACCAAAAGAGCCAUACUACCCUCUCCACACCCCAAGCUACAAGUUACCCCUCCACCGAUUUCAAUUUACAAGUCUCCACCACCACAAAAAGAGCCAUACUACCCUCCCCACACUCUAGUCUACAAGUCACCACCUCCACCGACCCCAAUUUACAACUCUCCACCACUACCCAAGGAGCCAUACUAUCCUCCACACACUCCAGUUUACAAGUCACCACCUCCACCUACCCCAAUUUACAACUCUCCACCACCACCCAAGGAGCCAUACUACCCUCCACACACACUAGUCUACAAGUCUCCACCUUCACCACCACCAAUUUACACAUCUCCACCACCACCACCACCGAAGGAGCCAUACUACCCUUCACACACCCCUGUCUACAAGUCACCACCUCCACCGACCUCGGGUUACAAAUUACCACCUCCAUCCAAGGAGCCACACUACCCUCCAAACACCCCAGUGUACAAGUCAAUACCACCACCAACUCCAGUUUCCAAGUCACCGCCACUGCCACCGCCCAUGGAGCCACACUAUCCUCCACACACCCCAGUCUACAAGUCAUUACUACCACCGCUGAAGCAUACCAUCCCUCACCAACACCAUAUCAUCCUGCACCAGUAUACAACUCUCCUCCAUCACCAACUCCAAUACACAAGUCUCCACCACCACCUUACUAUCUUUACACCUCUCCUCCUCCUCCCUACCAUUACUAAGAAGCAACUUCAUUAUAUCUAAGGUAAUAAUUCAUAACUAAAACUUUUAAAAAUAAUGUCUAAAAUGCAAAGCAUUUAUAAGUUGCACAAUUUAAUUUCUUAAUACAAAUCAUUAAUAUAUAUAUCUCUGCAGUCUUCUUCUUAUUCGGUUAUCUUCUACUAUAUGUUCUCAUCUACAAUAUUAUAUUCUUAUGCAGCUGAAAAGCAGAAUGUGGAGCUUAAAGAAACGCAUUUUCCAUUUUCGAGAGUAAAUAAUAAGUCCAAAAGGAGGCAAAGUUCAUUUGUAGCUUCAUGUUGUCUAAGUUAUUAUUUAUACCCUAUGUUAUAUUUAUAUUUUACUUCUGUUCCUUUGUUCUAUUUCCUUGCAAAAUGAAGAGAUUAUGAGAUGAAUACAAAAGUUAUUACUACAUUGAUUAAUAUUUUCUUUCUCUCUACUCUAUUUUUCUAGAUCUUUUAAUUUCUUAUUUCGUUGUCUUUAUAUAUAUCGAAUCAUUUAGGUGAGUUCCAUCAAUUAUGUUAAAUCAAUCAUUAUAUAAAAAGAAAAUUUUCCCUAUCAAUAAAUUUAAUGAUAUGUACUAUAAAAUUUAAGUAACAAUUAAUAGGAAAAUCUUACUAGUUCAUUUAAUUAGUUAUCUAAAUUAUUGCUUUAUUGAUAAGAAUUCGAAUUCUAUUGUGAUCUCCACAAUAUGAUACAAUGCAAUAGAAUAAGCAAUAGUACAAUUAAAAAAAAAGCGACUGCCACAAUGUUAACAUAUGCUAGACUGACCAAUAAAUUUUAAAAAUUCAAAAUUGUCAAUGGUAAAGAAUAAAAAAUUAAUGAUGAAAAAAAAGGGUGAAAUAUUUGAAAAAUAUGAUCAAUGUACGUACUUAUCAUUAGCAAUAAUUAAGAAAUGAGACGAAAUCAACACUAGUAAAUUAUUCCCCAAGUAGAAAACUUCUUUUACGGUUUCAAAAAACUCAUUUAGUAAUAUAUUUGGUAAAUUACUAAAGAUUAAGUCAAUAUAAUUCAGUCAAAUGUUUUGUAAAUUAUAACAAAUAGUUACGCACAUACGCCCACAAUAUAAUUCUGAACCCCACUUGUUUUAUAUAAAGUCUCCAAUCACGUCAAUUUCGAAGCUUUUCUCCUCUUUAUGACAUCCCAAUUCACCAAAAUCUAUUCAAAUAUAGCAUCAUAAUAAUAUAACGAACCUAACGACGCUAAAAUCAAUUAAUUCGGGUGAAAAGGGUAAAAUGGUCCAAAAAAUUCAUCGUCAGAACAUAUCGUCGGAAUUUGAAAAUUUUUACAUGAAAAUGUUCCUCAAGUGAUAAGGAAUUCAGUAGCGAAAACUGUUUAAAAAAUGGAGCUAAUAUGAGGAAGAAAUCACAUGAUAAAGUUUUCAGAAUUAACAACAACGCAGCAGCAAAUCAGCAAAUUUUUACCUCAAACGACACACCAAAAUCAAUUUCUGAAGCUCUCAAGUUGUUCUCCUCAGAAAAUUAUACAACUUAACAUUUUGAAUCAUUCCAAUCGGACCAAAAACGAGAGAGAAAAUGUUGAUUGAAGUUGGAAAAAAUGUGAUAAAUUUUCUGCAUCAUUCUGCAGAUUUAAGAAUCGGGUCUGCCACAUGACAAAACCUUAUUGGGCCACAUGACCCAUCUUUUAAUUUUCACCAAUUGCUCAAACUUAAUUUUGAUGUUUCAGCCUCAUCUGAAGUAAAAAAAAUGCAAUCUAUAUAUGAAAUCUUAUCGGAAAUAGCAUUCCGGACUCAAUGGUGUAGUCAAAAUUUCAAAUGGAGAUCGUUUUAUGCCAAUGUGGGUCCUAUUUCCAAUUGGUCCAAUGUAUGGAAUAUGAGUUCUAACAUCCUUCCCCCCCUUAGAACAUUCAUCCUCGAAUGUUAAACCAACUUUACGAGCCAUACAAACAAUUUGGUAGAGUUUCCUUUUCAACUAUCACAACAAUACAUUCAUUGAUCAACAGUUUAUUUAUCAAGCAACAAAAUCAAGUGAAAGAUUGAAUUACCCGUGGGCACUGAAAACAAGUGAGGAUACUUCUUCUUCAUCUGCUCUUCAGCUUCCCAGGUCAUUUCCUCUCGGUUAUUGUUUCGCUAUAGCACUUUAACAAAAGCCAUAUCUUUAUUUCGUAACUUUUUCACCUGACGAUCCAAAAUGGCUACGGGCCACUCUUCAUAAGAUAGUUCUUCUGUGACCUGAAUAUCAUCCACAGGGAAGAUUUUGAAAGGGUCACCAAUACACUUAUGAAGCAUAGAAACAUGGAAUACCGGGUGUACCACUUCCAAAUCAGCUGGCAUAUCUAAUUCAUAGGCAACCUUUCCUAUUCUACGGACAAUCUGAUAUGGCCCAAUAUAUCUCAGACUGAGCUUUCCUUUCUUACCGAACCUCAUAACACCUUUCAUAGGUGACUCUUUAAGGAAUACCCAAUCACUAAUCUGAAACUCCAAAUGUCGACGAUGAUUAUCUGCAUAUGAUUUUUGUCGACUCUGAGCCGCUAACAACCGCUCCUGAAUGAGUUUCACCUUAUCCACUACCUGCUAAACCAUGUCUGGGCCAAUCAACUCAGUCUUUCCAAUAUUAAACCAAUCGAUUAGUGACCUACACUUCUUGCCAUACUAUGCCUCAUAAGGUGACAUCGGAAUACUGGAGUGGUAGCUAUUAUUAUAAGCAAAUUCAACAAGCAGCAAAUGAUUAUCCUAGCUACCUCUGAAAUCAAUAACACAGGCCCACAACAUGUCUUUCAAUGUCUGAAUAGUGUGCUCGGCCUGUCUAUCAGACUGGAGAUGUAAUGCUGUACUGAGACUCACCUAAGUCCCCAAGUUUGUCUGAAACGAUCUCCAAAAAUUUACCAUAAACUGGGCAUCUCUAUCGGAGAUAAUAGAUAUGGGAACACCAUGAAGUCGCAUAAUCUCCCUGAUAAUAGCAUAAUCCUCAGCUGAGUAGGUAGUCCGGAUCGAAAGGAAAUGGGCUGAUUUCAUCAGCCGAUCAACAAUAACCCAAAUGGAAUCAUACCUCUGUGGGGUGCGAGGUAAACCUGUAAUAAAAUCCAUAUUAAUGAUCUCCCACUUCCACAUCAAUAUCUUCAUCUCCUGCAAUGGCCUACCAGGCUUCUGGUGCUCAAUCUUGACCUGCUGGCAAUUCGGACACUAAGCGAUGAACUCUGCUAUGUCUCUUUUCAUACCAUCCCACCAAUAUAAACAUCUGAGAUCAUAGUACAUCUUCAUUGACCCUAGAUGAAUGGAAUAGCGGGCAUAAUGUGCCUCGCCCAUAACCUGUCGCCACAAACCCGCAACAUCAGGUACACACAAUCUGCUCCUGUAUAAUAAUGCUCCAUCGGAGGUAAGUCCAAACGGGGUUCUUUCCUUUUCAAGGCCGGUGUCUCUGUAUUGUACCAGAAUAGGAUCCUCAUAUUGACGCUGCUUAAUCUCUUCUGUAAUGGAGGAUUCAGCCAUACCUCGAACAGAAUCACCAACAUCUCCAGAUUGAGCCAAACGAACUCCAAGAUUAGCUAGCUGAUGAAUAUCAUGAACCAUCUCUCUUCUCUCUGAAGGCGUGUCCACUAAACUACCCAUGGACUUGUGGCUAAGUGCAUCUGCCACAACAUUAGCUUUUCCAGGAUGGUAGAGACUAUCAACAUCAUAAUCUUUCAGUAACUUUAACCACCUCCGCUGCCACAAGUUUAGCUCCUUCUGUUUAAAGAUGUACUGGAGGCUCUUAUGAUCGGUAUAAAUAUCUACAUGAACCCCAUAUAAAUAAUAUCUCCACAUCUUCAUAGCAUGAAUCACCGCGGCUAGCUCCAAAUCGUGAGUAGGAUAAUUCUUUUCAUAUGUCCUGAGCUGCCGGGAAGCAUAAGCUAUCACCCUGCCAUGCUGCAUCAACACACACCCCAAACCAAUACCAGAGGCAUCUCAAUAAAUCACAUAUCCAUCUGGACCCUCAGGAAGAGUCAGUACUAGAGCCAUAGUCAACUUCUCCUUCAGCAAUUAGAAACUACGCUCACAAGCAUCAGACCAUUGGAAUUUCGCUCCCUUCUAAAUUAGCCUUGUCAAAGGCGCUGAAAUAGAAGCAAAUUUCUCCAUAAAUCUUCGAUAAUAACAACCAAUCCCAGGAAAAGGCCAAUUUCUUACGGCCUCAAUCUUCUGAAAAUCCACCCGGACGCCGUCAGCUCCUAUAAUAUGCCCCAAAAAUGCCACUGAAGACAACCAGAAUUCAUAUUUAGGAAAUUUAGCAUAUAAUUUUUGGUACCGAAGUGUACCAAGUACCAUCCUCAGAUGAUUCAAGUGCUCCUCUUUUGACUAAGAAUAGACCAGAAUGUCAUUAAUAAAUACGAUCACGAACAUAUCCAAGAAUGGUCUGAAUACCCGAUUUAUAAGAUCCACAAAUAUUGCCGGAGCAUUUGUCAGUCCAAAAGACAUAACUCUGAAUUCAUAAUGCCCAUACCAGGUCCUGAAUGCUUUCUUGGGAAUAUCCUCCUCCCGUACUCGCACCUGGUGGUAAUCCGACCGUAGGUCUAUCUUUGAGAAGCAUUUAGCUCCCUGCAACUGGUCAAAUAAAUCAUCAAUCUUGGGGAGGGGGUAUAUAUUAUUUAUCAUUACCUUAUUCAACUUCUGAUAAUCAAUGCAUAUCUGCAGGGAUCCAUCUUUCUUCCUUACAAAUAAUAUCAGAGCCCCCCAAGGUGACGUACUAGGCCGAAUAAAACCCUUCUCCAAUAGAUCUCUCAGCUGUUCUUUCAAUUACAUUCAUUCUGUCGGUGCCAUUCUGUACGGAGGAAUAGAAAUAGGCUGAGUGUCUGGCAGCAAAUCUGUAGCAAACUCUAUCUCCCGCUCAGGAGGAAGACUUGGAAGAUCGUCUCGAAAUAUAUUUGAGAAUUCAUUAAUGACUGGGACUGACUGAAGAGUCGGUACCUCUGGCUCUAAAUCAUGUACAUGGACUAAAUAAUAAAUAUAGCCUUUUCUAAACAUUUUUCUUCCUUUGAGGUAUGAAAUAAAUUUACCCCGCGGCGAUGCGGUAUUACUUGCCUAGUCAAUAACUGGUUCCCCUAGAAAUUGGAAAUGGACUAUCUUCUUUUGACAAUCAACAUUUGCAUAACAAGAAGCUAGCCAAUCCAUACCCUAAUCACGUCGAACUCAGUCAUAUUUAACUCUACCAGAUCGACCAUAGUGCAGCAGCCACAAAUAAAUAUCGAACAGUCUCUAUAAACUUGACAGGAAAUAAUAGAAUCUCCUACUGGUGUAGCUACCUCGAAAGGCUCUAUCGGCUCAAACUCUAUCCUAAUUUUAUUAGCAACCAAAAUAGAAAUAUAUGACAAUGUAGAACCAGGAUCAAUCAGUGCAUACACAUCUCGAGAAGAAACUAGUAAUAUACCUGUGAUGACAUUUGGCGACGCCUCCUGGUUCUGCCCAAUGCAUAAAUGCGGUUCGAAGGACCGCUAGACCCAAGAACUCCACCACGACCCCUACCUCGGCCUGUUGAUGCUGGUAUACCUCACCCCGCAGGGCGUAUGGCUACCAAGGAUGAAGAUGAACCAUCGGCUUACCCGGUAGACUGAGCUAAACUGCAUGUAUCACCUCUAACCGGACAGUUUCUCAUCUGGUGGCCCUGAUGGCCACAUAUAAAGUAAGCAUCGGUGGAGCAAAAGCACUCCCCGGGGUGUUGUCUCCCACAUAUAGAACACGAAGGUCUGGGUGGUCUCAUCUGACUGCUGGAGCCAGCCUCUGUCUAACUGUGAGCCUGAAACCCUGGAACUCGGGCCUGCCCCUGAAUANNNNNNNNNNNNNNNNNNNNNNNNNNNNNNNNNNNNNNNNNNNNNNNNNNNNNNNNNNNNNNNNNNNNNNNNNNNNNNNNNNNNNNNNNNNNNNNNNNNNNNNNNNNNNNNNNNNNNNNNNNNNNNNNNNNNNNNNNNNNNNNNNNNNNNNNNNNNNNNNNNNNNNNNNNNNNNNNNNNNNNNNNNNNNNNNNNNNNNNNNNNNNNNNNNNNNNNNNNNNNNNNNNNNNNNNNNNNNNNNNNNNNNNNNNNNNNNNNNNNNNNNNNNNNNNNNNNNNNNNNNNNNNNNNNNNNNNNNNNNNNNNNNNNNNNNNNNNNNNNNNNNNNNNNNNNNNNNNNNNNNNNNNNNNNNNNNNNNNNNNNNNNNNNNNNNNNNNNNNNNNNNNNNNNNNNNNNNNNNNNNNNNNNNNNNNNNNNNNNNNNNNNNNNNNNNNNNNNNNNNNNNNNNNNNNNNNNNNNNNNNNNNNNNNNNNNNNNNNNNNNNNNNNNNNNNNNNNNNNNNNNNNNNNNNNNNNNNNNNNNNNNNNNNNNNNNNNNNNNNNNNNNNNNNNNNNNNNNNNNNNNNNNNNNNNNNNNNNNNNNNNNNNNNNNNNNNNNNNNNNNNNNNNNNNNNNNNNNNNNNNNNNNAACACGAAGGUCUGGGUGGUCUCAUCUGACUGCUGGAGCCAGCCUCUGUCUAACUGUGAGCCUGAAACCCUGGAACUCGGGCCUGCCCCUGAAUAGCCUGUGCCCUCUGAUCUCCUGCUGGUGAACUAUGGGGGUGUGCCCCAUACUAACUGGGGAGGAUGUCUAUUCUGCUGCUGCUGAGGCUGCCUGCCUCGAAAAUCCCCUGAAUACCCAGAUGAUCUGGCCCUCUUGGGCUGGCCUCUGUCAUCAACCCUAUCAGGCUGGCACCCCCUGCGUCGGUCCUCCAUGCCCUGGGCGUAGGCCUGAAUACAGGUGAUAUCCUUACCGGUCUGGGCUGCCAUCACAAGCAACUAUUAACAUAAUACUGGUCCAGCCCUACUAUAUAUUAUUGCAUCCAGUCAGUCAUGUCAACAACAUAUGUAGGCGCAUAUCUGGCUAGCGAAUCGAACUCCAGGCUAUAAUCCCUGACUGGCCUACCCCGCUGCUUCAACAGCAGGAAUCUGUCUACUCUAGAUCGCCUCACCUCCGAAGGCAGAAAAUGUGCUAGAAAAGCCUCAGUAAACUCGCCCCAAACGGCUGGAGGGGCACCCUCACCUCUGGAUAGCAUCCAUGACUCAUACCAAUUGGCUGCUGCAUCGUGCAAUCGGUAGGACGCCAGCUCAACUUACUUUGUCUCAAAUGCACUAAUCAAUUGCAGGGUGCACUGCAUCUAUUGGAAAAACUCAUGAGGGUCCUCUGCGGGCUUGAUCCCGAAGAACUCUAGUGGGCUGCAUGUCAGAAAAUCACAAGCCCUCAAACUGUCACGGCGGCCUACCUGAUCACCGCUUACUCCCUGUCUACAGGCCUGUCCUGCUACCAGUCGGGUCAAUAGUUGGACCACCUCUUGCAUGUCCCUAAUCUCUGCACCUAGCCGAGGGGCUGGAGGCUCUGAUACUCGAACCUCGGGAGAUGGCGAUGGAGCCGUCCCCGUACCUGCAGCUGCUGAUGCUCCAACUGCCUUCGACAUUGGCAGUGUAGUCGAACUAGCUGUCGGGGGUACCAUAUCUGGCUCUCUCUGGGCACGAGCCCUAGUAGUCACCCGGGCUCGACUGGUCUAACCUACCGCUACAGACCUGCCCUUCUGGGAAGCUGUGGUCUUUCUCGGAGGCAUUACUGAAAACAGAACAUUUUGUCAGAAAAGAGUCAUCCUAAUAACGCAGUUCUAUCGCACGAUCUAAGAUUUGAAAGAAAAGAAAUAACAUCCUAAAUGUCCUGUAGCCUCCUAUUAAUGGAUAUGGUGCAUAACACAUCGAUAAACAAGACUCUACUAUAUACGGUCUGUGGACAUUCUGAGGAUGAACCACUCUGGUACCACUUUUGUCAUGAUCCAACCCCGUGGGCCGUGACUAGUGCCCAGAUUGGGCACCCAAACACUGCCUCAGAUCCUAUCAAACACAUCUCUGAAUAUAACAGAAAUCGACAAGGCGACGUUUCAAAAAAUUUGGCAGAGUUUCCUUUGUCUUACGGACUAUCCAAAAUAACCCUGCACUCAGAAAAUACCAACGAAAGCUACACAGGGCAAACAAAACAACAUAUAUAUAUAUAUGGGGGCUGACAAGGCCGCCAUGGCAGGUGAAACCGCCCAACACACACAUCAUACAAAUCUAGUCGAACGGACUGGGCACAAUCCACACACAUAUAUCCUCAGAUCUCUAAAUAAACUGACAGAAUCAUAGGACGGGAUAGGGCCCGGCCGUAUUCCUGAACAAAUAUAUAUAAUGCAAUGAACAAAUAUAUACCAAAAGUAGACUCCGAAAUAGGGGGAGCACUCCAAAUAGCAGAAAGGUGUCGUAAAUUGGUGGAUCUCCAAGCUGUACGUCUGUACCUGCGGGCAUGAAACGUAGCCCCCCCCGAAGAAGUGAGGUCAAUACGAAAUAUGUACUGAGUAUGCAAAGCAGAAGAUACAGAACAUAAAUCUGAGUAAUAAUCGAAAUAAAAGUAUGAAAGGUAAAUACAUAUCCAAAAAUAUUAAAAUGUUUACUUUCAAAAUACAAAUCAUGCAUAGGGCACAGGAAAUAUGGUCACCCGCUUGUCGAUGGUGCCAUAACACAGCAUAACACCAGAAAGUUUCAAAUCUUUGAAUCCCCUCAUUUAUCACAACACAGCAUAAUGCCAAACACAAUAUAAUGCCCAACAAAAGUGGAACCCGGCCCUUGAGCGAAGAGCUCGAUGAACCAUAAAUAUAGCAUAACACCAGAGUAUAUCAUAAUGCGUACGAUAAAUAACCAACUCGAGAACCAGCGAACAAUAUCAUAGUAGUAGGCACGAGCGGAGUAGUGAAUAAUCAUAUGCAUAAAAUCAUUAUCAUAAAUCCAAAAGAUAAGUAAAAUAGUCAUAUUUGAAAUUGGAAGAAUAAUUAUUACGUAUUCUUUCAAAAGUUAUCGAAAUUGAAUAAAAGAGCGUCGCGGGACCCAAGACACGUGGAGACCCAAGCUGGCCCAGCCUAUGGAGAAUAUUCUUAUCCUAGACCAUACAAGGUCCUACAAGAAUUUCAAAACAAUAUGAGCUCUUCUGUAAAAGUUAUGGGCGUUUGUAGUUUUAGAUUCGUAAAAAAAUUAAGUUCUUUUAAAACUAAUCAACUUUCAUAUACCCUUUGCAACUUAUGAAUUCCAAGGACAUAUGGAUCAAUGUUAUGACAUAUUAACACAAGAAUACCAAGGAACAAAUGAGGAUCAUAAACAUGAUCGGAUUGCGAGAAUAUAGUUUCCUCGAGGCUCGUAUCAUAGCCUAUUUUAACUAAGGCAUGCUGAAAAGAAAGGUUGCUUUACAUAUCUCAAACGCUCUUCAAUAUAAUCCAAAUGCAAGCUAGAUCCAACUUACGCUUCAGGCUGCCCAAGGUCUACAAACAAGUCAUAAAAUGUCAAACAUUAGAUAAAGACUUUUUGGGCAUUAAAUUCCAAAUUUGUCUUUAAUUCUACAGAAAUUUGGGCAGCAUUUCCCCUGAAAAUAGGCCACCCCGAGAAUUCAACUCGGCCAAAUCAACAACAACAACAAUAACCAACUUAGCAGCAUCAACAACCAAUCCGAAAGGCAAUACAACAAUGAUAGCUCUUUUUUUUCAUCAUUCAAUAACAUUCAUAAAUUCGAUUCAACGGCUUACCUUUAAGCCAACAUCGAUGCUUGUACAUUCAAAUACUAACCCGAAUCCAUACCAAUAUUAUUUAAAGACAUUCUAAGCAAUUUACAUAACACUUCCAACAAUCCAAAAUUUUCUCCAAUCUAGCCAAGAAUAGCCCCUAAACCCGAGAACCUCACUUGCCUUAUAUAAAGUCUCCAAUCACGUCAAUUUCGAAGCUUUUCCCCUUUCUAUGACACCCUAAUUCACCAAAAUCUAUUCAAAUAUAAUCAUAAUAAUAUAACGAACCUAACGACGCUAAAAUCAAUUAAUUCGGGUGAAAAGGGUAAAAUGGUCCAAAAGUUUCGUUGCCAGAAUAUAUCAUCAGAAUCUAGAAAUUUUUACAUGAAAAUAUUCCCCAAGUGAUAAGGAAUUCAGUAGCAAAAACCGUUUAAAAAAAUAAAGCUAAUAUGAGGAAGAAAUCGCAUGAUAAAGUUUUCAGAAUUAACAACAAUGCAACAACAAAUCAGUAAUUUUUUACCUCAAACAACUCACCAAAAUAAAUUUCUGAAGCUCCCAAGUUGUUCUUCUCAGAAAAUUAUACACUUAGCCUUUUGAAUCACUCCAAUUGGACCAAAAACUAAAGAAAAAAUGUUGAUUGAAGUUGGGAAAAAUGUGAGAAAUUUUCUGCAUCAUUCUGCAGAUUUAAGAACCGGGUCUGCCAUGUGGCAGAAUCUUAUUAGGCCACGUGGCCCCAUCUUUUAAUUUUCACCAACUUCUCAAACUAAAUUUUGAUGUUCCGUCCUCAUCUGAAGUAAAAAAAAAAUAUAAUCCAUACAUGAAAUCUUAUGGAAAAUAACAUUUCGGACUCAAUGGUGUAGUCAAAAUUUCCAAUGAAGAUCGUUUUAUACCAAUAUGGGUCCUAUUUCUCAAUUGCUCCAAUGCAUGGAAUACGGGUUCUAACAAAGAGUGCUUGUAACACAAAUGAAGGAUCUUUGCCCCUGAUAAGAUGGAGUCAAGUUAAAAAAAAGGGUGCAUCAUGGUAAGUUUUUGGUAACCCCUUCGUCACCUGUUAGAAUUGCUACAUCUCCUAAGGGGUCUCAAGAACCCGGUUCUCCUACUAUCCCUGCCCCCCCAAGACAAACAAGCAUGUAGAGAUAUUUUUAACUAUGUGGAAACAUAAUUACUUUGGGUCUAAAACGGUUUUAAGGCUGUGACGCCUCGGGAGGGUACCCUAGAUGUGAUCGACACUCAGAGACUAUUGCUAGUCCCUAAACGAACAACUUGGACUCAUCACAUUUGUUCAGUCAAUAUAACUAAUCAAUCAAUGGAAGACUACGAUAAUAAAAGAUGGGCAACCUAAAUCUCAUAAGCAUAUAAAUAAAACAGGCUAGUCUGAAAUAAGCUAGCUCAACAUAAUCUUUAAUCAACAACUCUACUCUAGUCUAUGAAGCCUCUACCAUUAUCAAUCGGUGCCAAUGACAGACCCAUAGCUACCCUAACUCAAGAAAUAAUACAGCUAGUCUACUGCAAAAGAUCCUCUAGUCUAGUCUAAUCAAUAACUCUACUCUAGUCUAAUAGCUAGAUGAAAGUAAGAAUAGGAUCCUCCAAAAUAAGGGAAGCUCACUAAGUCAGCUGACUGCAAAAGAUCCUCACGGUGCGCCUGUUGACGAUCUCUAGUACCUUCCCCUACAUAGUAAAAUGAUGCAGUCCAAAGGAGACGUUAGUAAGUGGAAUGUACGAGUAUAUAAAAUGGCUAAAUAAAAUAGAAAUAGAUAGAAUAAUAUAAAAUAACAUCAACUAAAAAGAUACUCAAUUAGGAUGUCAAAUGUCUAUCUAAAGCAAGAAUAAAGAGUAGACAAAUGAGUCAUCAAUACCACGCAAGCCUCAUAACUCAACUCAACUUAGAGUACUAUCACUGUGGGACCUAUUGCGGAGUUUCUCUUAUCUGAUAACAAUCACUUAUGAGCCAGUGAUUGUAUAACACUCCUACUAAUGUUGCCACAGUCGUUUCAUACUUGUCAGGUAAAUAAUGAAUCGGAUCCCCAAGAGAUCUAACCUCUAAAGUCCUCUAUUGUUUUAAGGGACUUUAACUCAAGUGGGAACCUCAAUGAAAUAGUUUAAUCCUCACCUAUGCUUGGCGACAUAGUUAAUGAGUGCGAGUUGGACUUACCCUUACUCAUUUCAGUGCUGGAUACUCCUUCCAAGACUCAAUGCUCAUAAACUCAUCCAUCUCAAUCAAUCAUCUCAAUUAGUCUCAUAAAGACUCUCAUCAUCUUAAUUAGUCUCAUAGGGACUUUUAUUAUCUCAUUAACUCAAACUCAAUUGGGCCUUUCGAACUAUCAUCUCAAUCAUCUCAUCAACUCAAUUCUCAUUUAAGAACUCAAGGACUCAGAUCAUCAUCAAAAAGAAAUCAAUUGGACAAAACUCUGGAGUUUAAUUAUGAAUACUUAAGGGAUCAUCAAUCUCUAUUAACUCAUCAUCAUCAUGUUCACAUCAUAAUCACAAUCAACAUUCUCAAGUCAAGGCUCUAGACUCAAUCCCUAGGUUCAUUCAUGCAUUCUUUUAUAAAAUAACAUAUUGGAUUUAUGAAGUAAUUUAUGUAAAAACAUGUAUUCAGUAAAACAAGUUUAUAUUAAUCGUCAACACAUGAAAAUACUUGUCACACACAUACACACAUAUAUGUAUGUAUGUAUUUAUAUAUAGUUUGCAAGAAAAUACUCAAGAAAUAUGUAUAAAGACUCAUGAUACUCACAACUCCUCUAUUACCAUCAAUGCGGGCACAUAAAAGAACGAUUUCAUGCUUUAGUUUAGCAUUACAUACUUGGUGUGAAGCUUUGAUACUUAAUCUUGUAAAAACUCUCCUCAAUCUCCUAAAUUCUCGCUCCUCUUCUCUCCUCUUUCACCCUAUUAUUUGUUAAAACUUAGAAGGGACUUAGGAAUGGGAAUAGAAACUCUUUUUAUGCUCAAAAUGAUCCAUUUAGAUCGCAUUUUAAGUUUAGAAGGGGUGUAUUUUUGGGUUUUUUCAUAAAAAAAAACUAGAAAAAAAACUUUGCCUCAAGGUAGCAUAGCCCGUGACGCGGACAAGGUAUAUUUUUGGAUUUUUUUAAUAAAAAAUUUUCCAAUUGAGUUUUCUAAUCAUGUAAAAAAUAUUGAGACCAAAUCUUAGUAUAUCUUUGCGGCAAGUCCGCGUCGCGGGCAUGUCACACAUUCUUACUGGAAUUGCGUUUCGCAUCAAAAUAUUAUCUUUUGAUUCAGUUGCUGUAAAAAAUAACUAAGAUCAUUCUCCCACUCAAUUUUUCAUGGUGAUCACAUAUCCAACCUCUGAUUUGCCAUCGGAGUUUAGAAAGAUACGUUAUGUGCACAUCUCUCCUCUACGGGUAUUUUGGUGAUUUCACCAAGUGUUACAAAGUCAACGAGUAAUUCACCUAGAUGUCCGUAAUUUCCCUCUAGUUGAAAAACUUUGCAUUAAAUUAGUUGCUCAGGGGUUGUCGCACUUAUUCUUGGACACAUACUUGAUGGUUUAUGAGCAAGAAGUGGUGGAAUAUUAUGUUAAUCUAUCUAUUCCGAAAGGUGGUGUAGGUACGUCGAGGGUUGAGGGAAUAGAACUAGUAUUUGAAAAAGUUAGGUUGGGUGAAAUCUUAGGCGUUCUAUUUGUUGGGUUCGCAGAAUGUGUGUGGAAGAAGGAUGAAGAUUGUGUGGUUACUUCUAAGUGUACUCAGGGUAGAGUUUAUGAUGUGCCCCAAAAGGUGCUAAAAGGGGAAAUGCCACUAUUAUUCGAGGUGGCACACAAGGGGAUUUUACCCAGGGGUGAGCAUUGCCAUGAGGUGACACUGGCAAAUUCCAUUGAACUCGAGGAACUAAUUGACUAUCCCUCCUUGAUUAUAAGGCAUAUGGCAAGGGUCAUUGGUCCUGCACCUGGCUCUUACCAACUAGUAUUUGGGAAUCUCUUGACUCUUGCCAUCAAGGAAUGUGAAGUCCUUCUAGGUGCAUGUAGGACUUUGACUAAAAAAGAAAUGAUUAAUAGGAUUAUUGCCUUAGAGUGUGACUAUCUCCCAGCUACUCCUACUGUCCUUGCUCCGCUUAAGGCUUCUAGGCCUAUGUCCCAGAUGAUGUUGGAAUUAAAAGCUGCUCGUGUUACCCAAAUGAGACUCUAAAUGCAGGUGGAUGAGUUGAAAGACCAAUUAGGAGAGUCUCGGGCUGAAGUAGGUCGUCUUUAGGACCAGCUCCUCUUCUAAAAGCAAGAUCAUAAUGCAAGGGUGGACUUGCUCUUAAAGAUGCUUGGAUCAACCCCCUCAUCCUUUGCUCCUAACCUUUAGCCUCUCUCUAUAAUACUCCAUUGGUUCUAUAUAAAUUUCUUUUGGGUUCUCUUAUGGUUGCUACAAAUAAUCUUUUUUGGCUUGUAUAUAUUUGACUUGAUUUCACAAUGGUAGGCAUAUAGUAUGUUUGUUUGUGAAUGUUGGUUUAUAUGUUAUAUCAUUGGCUUUUUUUAUUACUGGUUGUGGAUGACUAAUAUCAUUAGUUUUAUUAUGUUGUGUCAUCGGGGACUAAUUGUUUGUGUGCUUGUGUCACUGUUAAUUAUUGUCCUUGUUCAUACUCACUUUAUUCUUUUUGUAAUGUCAAAGGGGGAAGGAGUAUGUUACAGGUGCAGGUAUAUCACAGAUAUGGGUUUGGUAUCAUCAAAAAGGGGGAAUUUGUUAGGAUCUGGCAUGAUCUCCUAAACUGUUUUGAUGAUGACUAACGGAACCAGGUUCAAGAUGCAUUACCAAGAAAAUGGACAUAACUAAAGAGGUAUAAUUCUACAAGGAGAAGGAGUCUUAAAUAAGGAAGUAGAACCAGAACAAGAUUCCUAUAAGAAAAAGUUGUAGGUGCCAUAUUUAAUCGGGAGUCUUGGAAAAUGACUCUUCUAGGGUCAAGUAUAAAAGGCAAUCAACAACCCUAGAAGAGUCGACAAUUCUUCAAGUAGGAGUAAACGACACUAGAGCAUUCAAAGAAGAUCUAGAAUUUGAUUUUCUUAUUUGUUCAAUUGUUCAAUUGUUAGCAAUCUUCUUAUAAUUAUUAUUGAGUGACAAUUAUUGGAAGAGAUUAUUUUGUAAGAAUAAGUGUUGAGAGUAGGUUUGGCUAUCAUCUUGUUGCGAGGUGUGAGAGAGAAGAUAGUUAUGUUGAGUGUUGCGAGGUUGUAACCUUAACAUUGCUUAGUUUUGAAAUAAUGAAGUUGCAGAAAUUCUACUAGCGUGGAUGGUGGUUGUUUCUCCUUUGAGAAAGGAGUUUUUUCACUAUACAUCUUGUUUCCCUUAACUUAUUGCAUCUGUAACUAUUCGGAUCAUAUAACUUGGUUCACUCGUAUGAUAACACAAAUCAUCUUUUCACCCAAUUUUGAAGCUACAAGAAUUAAGCUUGAGGAUGAUAAAAUUGUAGUAGUUUGUAGUCCACCAUUCACUUUUUAUAUAGUAUAUUUAUUCUCAAUUGACUUUCUCUUUAAGAUAAAUUACAUAUUCAACUGAGAUCAAGAAAAAUCAUGUAAAGUUAGAAGAAGGAUUUUGCGAAAUGAAGUAGUCUGUGAGAAAAAAGAUAUUAGAGAUCUAGUUGGUAAAGGAAGGUUUGGUAAGCCAAUUCCAUUAGCAAAGUGGUAGAGUUGAGGAUAACAACUCAAAAAAAAGGUGCUUAUUCGAAGGAGCUCCCAUGAUUAGGAGAAAGUUGCAAUGAUUAAGUUGUAUUGUACUUUUUAAGAUAAUUGUAUUUUUUCUCAUAGGAAAAUAUUUUGUAAUAAAUUGACUGCAUUUCUUACAAAAUCUGAUUUUGUCCUAGAAGUGCCUUCUAGCAAUUCUAUUUCAAUUGUUGUUGUCACUAAUUAAAAUAAUUUAUUGUGAUAGUUUUAUUGUAUCGGUAAAAAUAAUAUUUUUGGUGACAAUGUGACAAUUUUUAAUUAUAAAAUUAAAAGUGAUUUUGCUAAAGCUAAGUUGUCACUAAUUUGUAUAUUUGGAGAUAAGUAAAAAAUUCGUAUGAAAAAGAUUGUUUUUAAGUGAUGAAAUUACUUUUAUUCAACUACGAAAUAUAAAUAAUAUUAGAGACAUAUGAUGUUGUCACUAACUAAAAUAAAAAUUUAGGGACAAAUUUAUUUUGUCGGUAUUUAAUAUUCUUUUUAGCAAUGAAAAUAACACUAUCAACUAUGAUUUUUUUAAUACUUUUAUGAUGAACGAGUUUGUCAUAAAUACUACAGAUUUGGGGACAAAAAAUUAUUCGUAGUUGAUGCAAUUUUAUUUGGUGAUGAAACAUUAAAUCAUCUUUGUAUACUUUUAGUGACUCACAUUUAUAGACAAAUGAUUGAUGAAAUUCUUUUCAUCACACAAGAUCUUUUGUGACAAAAUCAUUUGUCCCUAAUAAUCAAAUUUAUUAUAAAUCCUCUAAUACAAAGUGUGGAUUUGAGUGUCAUAUGGAAACUUGCAAAUUCCACAUACCACAAGUUAGUAUAUUAAUCUCAGUGAGUGACUAAGGCAGUUGCUAAAGCUUUUAGUUCGGAUUGAAGAGGAAAUAAUCUGAAUUGAAUUUAUCAAAAACAUUCAUCCCAUUGGAGUUUGUCAAUUUUCACAUACCAAAUGAUUGACUAGUUAGGACUUUGAUAUAGAAUGUUGUCUAUGGAGAUGCAAAUGAUAAACAUGAAAGCGCAAAAAAGAUGUAAGUAAUUUUAUGUAGACAUUCUUAAUGCAUGUGACACUCCUUUCUAUUGAACAUUGUCAAACUAAUUUUUAGCUUUAGUUUUUUACGUUAAGAUAGAGCAUAUGCAUCAAAUUACACGAGGUGGAAUACUAGUCAUCGAAAAAUAAACCUUUUAUGAUGAUGCAAAGUUAGCUGAAAUCUAGUUCUUUUCCAUUUCUUAUUUGCUCGCACUAUUUGAGCCACAUGAAUAUAUCCAAAGUGUUCUGAUUGUAGCAUAAUGUUGAAUGGCAUCACCCUUAAUAGAAAGCACAAGAGCUCAGAGUAAACUCUCAGUGACUUGGAAAAGCUAAGCCAAACUUUAAAGAAAUUGCUUAAUUCUAUUCAGAGGACAAGAAAUUUUUGUUACACUAAUACUAACCUCAACUUUUCAUCUGAACAAGUCUUUGAACCAAGAUUUCAUGUUGAAGUUUGAAUGAAUUUUUGGGCUUCUCAUGAUUAAUAGGUACACCUUAGAAAAUAGGCUCAAGAAAUGGUUACUUGAUGAGAGAGAAAAAUUCAUAAGAUGCAAUAGUUCAAAAUCAAUUCAAACACUAUUUUGGAUUUUCCUAGUUUGUGUCCAUCAUCAAAUGUUGUUGAUAAACUAAUCCAAGAAUUAUAGAAUAAAAAAGAUACAAUAAAAAUGAAGAAUGUCAUGACAUUAUAAUUGUAGAAUAGAAUCAACAAGCUCAUUGAGAGGUGCAAGCUCCGCCUUGUCAAUCAACUGAAACUCCUGUAUCAAGCAAAAUCAAAUUAGUAGCUUAUUGUAAAAUUUUAGAAUCUUUGAACCUCAUUUUACUUCUAACAAGCCACAACACAAACUAAUAACUUGACAAUGCAUCAAAUCAACAACAUGAAAUAAGCUACUUACCCAUGUGAAGAGAACAAAAUGUUUAAAGCAAGUAUUCAGAUGAGCUUCUUCCUCCAAGCUGAGAAUCUUUUGAAAAUGAGAAUGGUAGAUAUGAGCAUAUACACGAAAUAAUCUCUUAAAUAUUGUCUUCACAACAUUCUGAAAGUUACAUGGAAAUGGAACACCUGUAGCAUAUAGUUGGUCUAAUAUAAAUACACUUUGAUCAAAGAAAAUAAUAUAUAAUGCAUAAGACAAAGAAACACCUCUUACCCAGCUCUUGAGGAAAGAUUGAUUCAUCAUCCAGUUGAGUCUCUAUCCAAUCCAUUAAAUAAUUCAUGUACUCUAGAGCAGAAACUUCUAUAGGUUUCUUUAUAUUCACUCCAUCAGCCCAUCGAUAUUCAUACCUUCCAUAAGUAUCAUUGAAAACCUUUAUGGUUAUUCCACAAGUAUAGAAUUCAAGAUAAUUUCAAGUGAAUUUAUACAGGGGUAUUUCACAUACUUAUGCAUUUUUUUACAUGCUCGAUGCACCGACAAAGAGGACUUGAGAGUUAAAAAUGGAGAUUGUUAAUUUUCACUCAUGCUACAACAUAAAAUACUUUAAACAAGUUAAUUUGGACAGACGUAAUUGAGCAUUAAGUUGAGAUAAGUCCUUUGUGGUAUACGUCUAGUAAGAUGUAGCUCAUGCUUGAUUCAACACUGACAAAUAAUUUUGUCAGUCUUUCAUAAGCUAGCUUAAAAAUUCAAACAAUGAUUGACCAUCACGAUGGAUAACUAUAUAUAAUAAAUCACCAAGCUAGUAACAACUAUAUUCUUAGCCCAACCACAAAGAUGUGAUUUGUGCAAAGGCACAGUAGUGCUGCUCCUAGGUUAAAAGUUCUUUAUUUAACAAGUAAAAUUACAUAUUGAGAGACGUACUUUGGUCCUGCCGACAUUUUUGGACAACUUGAUGGAGUGCAAAACUCAGUGAGGGUGCCAUACAAUAUAUUCACUUGCUUGAAAAAGUCAACAGCUGUAGCGAAAUUUAGAAAAAUAAUGGUUAGCAUUUAUCUAAAAUGUGCUUAAUAUGCAUAUUUAACUUAUUAUUAUAACAUUAAUGAGGUAUUAAAAGCAAAAAAAUAAAAUAACGAUGGCUUUUUCUGGUGAAUAAAUUGUACUGAUACCAAACAACUUAUCUUAGACUUCUCAAUGUUCGUUAGUAAAUGAUCAAAAUAAGUAAAUACAUAUGAUUUAUUGUGCAAUCAAUAAAUUGUAAAGAAACAGCGUUACAUAUGCAAUAACAUUAAUGGAGUGGAAGUAAUUGCACCCGAAAAAAGUUAAUUGAAAAAAAUUAAAAAAAUAAAUUUAAAAAUCAUUAUAAGCAGUAAUUUCACCACAACUACCAAGCAUCUAAAAAAAUUUGUUUUACCUGCCCCGCCUAUUGUUAUCCCUAUAUAUUGGCCAUUGAAAUAACACAAAAAUCAUAAUAAAGAACCUAUAAAAUGGAGACUUUGCAAUAAUAUCAUGUGUCCAUAAGGACGAAAAUUCUUACUAUUUAUAGCCAUCCACUCAUGGAGAUCUCCCCCCGGAGGUAGCCUCACUUCUUCCCUUAAAUUACCACAUCUUAAGCUAACAUUAAUGUGUUUUUUGAAUUUCUCACCCUGUAUUUGAAUAUUUAAACAAAGAUAGAAUGAGAGAAAAUUUGAAAAUAAAUGAAAUUAGUAAUUGAGGAAGUGUUCUUAGCAUUACUCUAAUCAAAUCAUUGGCUGCAAAAAUUCUGCUUAAUUGAAAACUCAAAGCAAAAAUACAAAUGCAUGCAUGUAUCCACAAAUAAGCACAACUCUUAAGUUGUGUUUGGAUGGAGGAGAAUAUUUUUCAUAAAAAUACUUUUCUAGAAAAUAUUUUUUGAUAAAAUAAGUUAAUUUCUUACAUAUUAUUUAGUGCUUUAUUAGUAAGAAAAUGUUAUCUUAAAAUAUUUAUAUCUAUCUUGAAAAAACUGUAUAGAAGUGGGAGGGGAUGAGGAGUGAGACCUGGGGAUGGCAAGGGGUGGGAUGGUCAAGAAGUAGGGGUUGGAGACGGUGGGGGUGGGGAGGAUAUAAUAAACAUAGCAUAUCAAUUACAAAACUUGUUUUCGUCACUUUUAUUAAGGAAGCUAUUUUUCUCAUUUUUUUGAAAAUUAUUUUGUAGAGAAAUAUUUUUCAAAAAUUUUAUCUAACCAAAUAUAGGAAAGUAAGAAAAUAUUUUUCACAUGCAAAACACACCCUUGAGAAGAUUAAAAAAGAAUAAUAAACAGAAGAAUUCAAACCUCAAGACAUCCAAAAGAAGUGAACCUAAGAAGCUCUUAAGGCAUUCGACUCAAUACUCUAAUUGUGUAUAAUUUUUUGAACACUAAUCUAGCCUUCAGCCUCUCAAUUGUUCCAUCGGUCUUUUGUUGUAUUUAUAGGCCCACUAUAGAUUUUCCUAGAGGAAAAGAAAUUCAAUCUCAAGUAGUAAACCCUUGACAAGUUCAAACAAAAUUAUAUAAAUUAAGCGGGCUACACCUAGCUUGCUUAUCUAAUAUCCAAUCAAAAGUAGAAAUAGUUUAGGAUUAAAAGAUAUAUCCUUCCUUAAUAAUUUGCUUGAGGAAUACUUAGGUAUGUAUUUUCUAAGAAUGUGUCAAACAUAAGAAUUGAUGAAGUUGGCCCACCAUAAAAAAAUCAAAUCUUUUAGAAAAAUAACCAAGAAUCCUCCUUUGAUUAUAAGGAUCCCUCAAUCCCAAACUACACAAAUGAUGAGGAUCUCAACCUUGAAGAUGGAACCUAGUUAUAUUUAUAUCUCAUCCAUUCUAAUUGUGUAACUAGUUACAUCUCAGAGAUAACUCUUUGGCAAACUAUUGUCAAUGUCUUUAUUAUUGAUAAAUACAUCUGGACUACAUAAAAGUUUUAUGAGUCUCAUAGCUAUAUUUGAUAUUCUUUUUAAAAUUAGAGGUGAAAAAGUUAUCAAGGAAAGGCUAUCUCAUAAAAGGACCAUGGAAGAUUAAAAAUUGUUGAUAGUUGACACGAGUUUAUAAAACAAGAAUUCUAAAUUUUGCAUAGUUAAACCAGGUCCAUAGAGCUUGUAAAUGCUCAUGAAUUUUCUUUGAAACACUUAGCUAAUAAUAGACCUCACGGCUGCUCUGUAUGAAAUAUUAUUUCGACGAAAACUUAUGCUAAUGAAGUAGAUAGUGCACAAUGGACAUAUUGAAAAGCUAUUGAUGGUAGUAGAAAAACAUUUUACCUCCUCUUACUCCUCACUUUAGCAAUAUCCCACUCAAUCUUUACCUCUAUCUUUUUUGCCCAAGACUGUUUAAUGUAGUUUUGCUUGUCUCUAGUUGUGAUAUCAUAUGCAUUUUAUUGAGGGAUCUAAGGGCUUAAAUUGGUACAUGAUUGCUUAUUAUGUUCCUCAUAGAAUAUUUUGGUUGUGCGUAUAAGAUGGCUAAUAUUCUACGAUUAACUUACUUUAUUAUUAGCAGAGGUGUACAAGAUAGUAUUAUCCAAGUGGGCAUGAGUUCAAAAUAAUAUUGCACUCGCUGUAGUUCCCUUGAGUUCUUUUGUUAUUGGUAUUUAGUGAUAGCAAAAGGGGAAAAUUAUAUGGUGCGGGUCAAAGACAUAAGGGGGGAUCUUUUGGGGGAAUAAGAGAAAUUUUUUUAUAAUGUUGAUGAUUAGCAAAGUGUUUUGAUAAUUGACAAAGUAAACCAUAAUAUAUUAUUUAACAUCAUCAAUAAGAAAAAAAUUGUCGGAAAAUAGAAAACAUACAAGUAAUUUUGAUAAUUGAUAAAGUGAGCAUGGUUCACUAUUUUUUGUCAUAUGUUUACUCUAUCAUGUUAACUAGGUCCACCUAUAUGAAUGGGAUGGCCUGAGGAUAUGAAAGAUUGCAACAAAGAAGGAAAUAAAUAGAUCACUGAAAUAAAGAAGAAAAAAUGGAAAGAGAUAAAUAGCCAAAAUAAAGAACAAAUGGAGGAAAGAAAUGAAGGAGUAAAGAUGAUGAAAUUUUUUUCUCAAGGAAGGAAAUAAGAAAUUUUAUGAGCUCAAGUCCUAUUUGAAAUAAAAGUCCUAGUCCAUAAUAUACUAGGACAUGACAAAUAUCUAGUAUAUACAUGACUUGAAGACCAUUGAGAGUCCCACCUAUUCACAAAAUUUAUCAUCUUGAGAGAAAUACUAUAACCAUUGGAUAAAAAUUAUAGGACUUCAUCAUAGAAACAUAGAAACCUGGUUCAGGAGUUGUAUUCGAUUUUGUACUGUUUAAUAUUGAAGUUUGAUAAGUUAAAGACUAAAGUUAUUAGUAUUUAUAGAGUUCACCAAUUGGAAUAAAUUGGUGAAUUAGUUUGUGUGACAUUUGGGUAGUUAAUGUUUAGAUUAUUAGUCUUUAUAGAGUUGUGAUUUCUAGUUAAGUCAAAGAUGAGAUCAUUAUGAGGUUUGUAUCAAGAAGUGAGUUUUUUCGUCUCUGAGAGUUGUUAGAACACGUAGAGUUAACUAUCGAAUUGAGGCAUUAGAGUUGCUCCCUUAAUUAUAGAAAUGUAACCUAAAACUUCUCUUUGGAGUUAGUAGAGGUUUCUGAAAUACUCACAUUUCAGAUUGUGAUUUUUUAUUCCCUUGAGAAAAAAAGUUUUUAAGGAAAAAUCAAGUGUUAUUUAAUUACUUUAUAGUCUAAUACUACUCACGGCACAAGGUUCCUAGAAAUAACGAUUGGUGCGUAAUUUUAUUUCAAUAAACAUAGAUUAUCAUGUACAGAACUUGUUAUCCCUACUUUCAUUAACAAAGUCAUUUUCUCAUUUUUAUGCAACUUGUUUUCCCAGAAAAAAAUAUUUUUUUUAUAAUUUUUUCUAAUCAAACAUGAGAAAUAAACAAAAUAUUUUCCAUAUUCUUCUUUAUACCAAACACAUAUUUAAGCAAAUAAAAAAUGAGUAAUGCAUUUUGUUAGGAGCAAAGAAUACUAAGUUAAUAUUAGGAACUAGCUUGGAACUACUUAAAUCUAAUUAGAGAUGGACCAGGAUUAGAAUGAUAUAGCUUUCCCUUGUGCAAUGAGUUUCUUAAACAAAAAUAAUAUUUGUUAAUUCUUAAGGAAAGUGGCUUGGUAUAGAAUCAAGGAUCUAUAAGAGAGGAUCGUGAGUGAAGAGGAGUUACCAUGAGAUAAAUAAAACAUUCGAACCUCAGAGCAUCCAAAAGAGAUGACCUUGUGAAACUCUAAAAGAUUUCGACUCGAUAUUGCAUAUUUUUGUGAUGCAGAUUUAACCUUCAGCCUUCAACUGCUCCAUCACCAAUUUUUUUCUGUUGUGUUUGUAGACCCACUAUUGAUUUUCUAGAGAAAUAAAACUCAAUCCAAGUAGCAAAAUCCUGUCAAAUUCAAGAAAGCUAUAUAAAUUAAGUAGGCUACACCUGGCUUACCUAUCCAAUAUGCAAUUAGAUGCAGAAAUAGCCUAGGAUUAGAAAGAUAUAGUCUUCCUGUGCAAUGAGUGUCGUAAUAUACCAAGUUGGGUUAUUUCUAAAAGGUAAUUCUCAAAGAGAGUAAUUUGACUCAUAGAAGUGAGGAUCUGAAAGAGAGGCUCAACUAUUAUAGUGAUUGAGGAGUACUUAAUAUGUGAUUGAUAAAAGACAUCUCAAGGCAUUCAAAAGAGGUGAAUUUGAGAAACUCUAUAAAGUUUAAACUUAUUAAAUACUGUAAUUGUAUAUAACUUUUGAAAAUUAAUUUAGCCUUCGACCCACAACUAUUACAUCAUCAACUUUUUAUUGUGUUUAUAGACCUACCAUUGAUUUUCCUAAAGAAAAAGAAAUUCAAUCCCAAUGUAAUAGAAAAUCCUUGAUAAACUCAAGUAAAGAAACAUAAAUUGAGUAGAUUGCAUUUAGCUUGCAAAUUCAAUAUUUAAUUAAUAGUAAAAUUGGUUUGCAUAGCCCUCUAUUUCAAUAGAAAUGUUAUCACUCAUACAUGAGAUCAAUUGGAAUUUCACUACCAACAAGGUCCACUUCCAUAAAUUUCAUACACUUGAUAGAAACAAGAAAGACAUUUACCAAUUAUCUUGCUUCUUGAUGCAAACCACUUUUUAGCACGAAAGGUCUUCUGAUUCCUUAAACAAUCAUGUGAUGAAGAAUUAAUCAAUCAAAUCAACCGAUGAUAGUAACAAAGAUUAGUGCUUUCAUUAUCAAUCAAGUCUAGAGAAAAUCCCAUUAUACCAAUUUUCAAGGACAAACAGACUCAUGAUGGAUUUAGAGAUUGUCAAAAAAUAUUAUAUAUUUUGUGCAUAUUUAAGGGAAUAAGAAACUGAGGCAUAGAUAAAGUUUUUUUGGCUGUAUAUAAAUUGCCAGCCAAGCUUACCUGGCUCUAUACAUUUUUCAUGUUUCUCAGUGCUUUCACCUUUGUACUUUCUCGAUUCCCCACCUUUAUACUAUUGCAUCUUUGGCUGUAUAUGACAUGCCAACGCCAGGCUUACCUGGCUCUAUACAUUUUUCAUGUUUCUCAAUGUUUGCAUCUUUGUACUUUCUCAUUUCCCAAUACUUGCACCUUUGUACUAUUGCAUUAAGCUUACCUAGCAUAAUGUAAUUUCAUUCAACUUUACUUUACUAAUAUUCUUAACCUUGCACACAAAUAAUAAUUAACUCUCAAGUAAUUGUUCUAUUUUAUGUGAUGUAAUUUUUGGAAAGGGUGUUCUACUAACUGCUAUAGCUCUACCCUUGAUUAAGACACCUAUAUGUCCUCUUUAUUUUGUGUAUCUAUUUCUCUUCCUUAUCAUGUUAAUAAAAAAUGACUUUUUUAUGCAUUUUUUAUAUUUCUAUUUCAUAAAGUUUAAUUUAUUAAAGCAAUCAUUUUUAUUUGUGAUUUUUAUGAGGUGUUUAAAAUAGAAAGUAGAUGACUAAUAUGAGAAGUGAAUAACAUUAUCGAAUUAUAGACUUUCUUUUGCUAUGGAGGUAAGACUAGUGAUAACACAAAAUUUUAAAUUAAGGGUGUUAAAAUAAAAAAUAAUAAAUACCAAAAGAUCACAAGAUGAUAAAUGAAAGAGGGAGAGCGUGAAGGACAGGACCAACCAUUAAGCCUAACCCACUUUCACAUUUUUUUAAUAUUUCUUUCUAUUUUUCCUACUCCGUCAAUCCAUUUUUUUAAAGAAGGUACUUUUAUUUUUUAAAUACUAUCUUAAUUUUUUUCUCACUUAUUGUAAUGACCUUGCCGGUUAUUUUUGAGAUUAUCUAUAAAAAAUUACUAUUUUGUCCUAUCGUAAGUUUUUUUGGACCUAUUAUGAACUAUCUAUAUUCUUAGAACCGAGAGUUGGUGUUUCAAAGGGAGAAAAUAUGAGUUUUGGUAUUUUUAGAAGCUUAAAUUGUUGAAAAUAUGAGUUUUUGUACCAUUCAGAGUUUCGAGUAUUGUAAUGGCAAUUUGUUGAUUCCACUAGCUCUGGAAUGUCGAAUUUGGUCUAGGAGAAGUUAUAGAACUGAAUUUGGAGUUAAAACAGAGAUUUUGGACCCAAAGUUACAUUUUCGAUUGGUUUCGGAGCCUAGUUUUAUUUUGGUCAACAUUCGAAGUUCAUAAGCUCCAAUCAAAAUUUGAAAGUUUCAAUAGUUUUGAAUGGUGAAACUAAUGCUAAAAAUGGUCUCGAGAGCAAUUUAGGUCUUUUGAGUUUUAACUAGCUUUAAAGAGCUUUAUCGGGAUUCAGGUCAAGGAGACCUUGGAAUCGAAUUUUGUUAAUUCCAUUGAGUUCAGAAUGACAUUUCUAGUAGAGAUACAUAUCCAGUUUGUGUAAAUUGGGUUCUGAACGAACUUCGAGGGUCCAUUGGAGUUGUGGAAUGGAGUUGAUUUUUCAGCAUCUGGUGCAAGAACCUUUACUCACCGCACUUCGUGGAAUGGUUUCCACAUUUGCGGAGGAGUACUCAAACUGAACUCCACAUAUGGGCUCCAUUCCCGUGUUCAUAGAGGUUAACAUUCCUUAGGCUCUGUAUUCGUGGGCCCCAUUCCCACAUUCGGAGGAGCGUAGAAUUGAGCUCCCCAUUCGUGGAACUCCUCCCCAUUCGCGAAGGCUUGCAUAUUCCUAAGAUUUGUGCUCGCAGGACUCUUUCCCAUGUUCACGGAGUAGUGAUUUACUGAAGAGUUUUAAAAUUGUGAAACAUCCAUUUUCUCUAUUUUUAACAUUUUAAGGCUUUCUUGGGUGAUUUUUGACAAGGAGUUUUAUGGGAAACUUUUUAGUAAGUCUUUCUAAGAUCUAGUUAAUUAAUUUCUAUUAUUUUUCUCUUGAUUUUAUCUUGAAUUUCAUGAUUUUGAAUGUUUAAAAUUGAGUUUUUCAUGUCUAUGUUUUGAAAACUUUGCAACGUUGAUUCCGUAUUCAAUUUGAGUUCAAUUUCAGUGGAAUUUUCACCCAAAACUCCCUUUCUCAUAUAGAUUCAUAAUUUUUAGUUUAUUUUAUGAUUUGUGAACCUCAAAUUUUAGUCCUAAUUUUGAUCAUUUUGCCCCCAGAUCCACUUCGUGCCAAUAUGGGUAUCAAGAUUCAUCUUUUGAUGCGUAGUAUCUAUUAUUGAUAGUGGUUGGUUGAUUCGAGCUCAUUUUUUAGGCUUAAAGAGUUUGAAAGCUUGGUUCGAGUAUGAUUUCGGCAUCGAGGUAGAUUCAACUAUUUUUUGAGGUUGUAUUUGAGUUAUUGAAUAUGUUUAUGUAAUAAUUGUAAGAUUUGGAUUGUUUCCUGAGUAAUUAGAUGAGUAUGACAAUAUUUUGGUAAAAAUGGCAUAUUAGUUGUAUUGAAAUCAGAGUAAAUUGAGAUAUUGUUGGCAAAUUGAGAUAUGUCUUUGGUAAUCGAGAUAUGUUCUAAUGUUAUUGUGAUAAUAUGAGACUUGUGAUGUUAUUUUAGAAACAUUAUGGUAAAUGAUGGUAUUUGAGAUACUUUCUGGGACUUAUGUGCAUAUUCUGGGACUUACGAAUUCCAGUGUUAUCGGUAUAUUCAGUAUUGGUAAAAUGUGGUGAUUGAAACAUGUUGAUGGCUUAUGGUAGCGGUUGAAGCACUUGCUUUCCCUUUUUGAUUCUAUGAUCAUUAUUUAUCGGUUAUCUAAUUAUAUUAUUGUCAUAUAUAUUGAUUUAUAGCAUCUGCAUGCAUUCAUUUCAUAUCGCAUUUGUAUCACCCCUUGACCAAGGGUAGGUGGUAAGAUUGAGAUAUUAUAACACCUUUUUAAGACCCCUUGACCAUGGGCAGGUGGCACGGAGGAGAUUGUAUCACUUUUUAAAACCCCUUGACCAUAGGCAGGUGGCAAGGUUGAGAUAUUGUGAUAUUCCUUGACCAUGGGCAGGUGACAAAGUUGAGAUAUUUCUGUAUAUGAUCUGACGAGACCCCCACGGUUUCUACCUGGUAGCCUUAGCUCAGUAGAUGUGUACACCAAUUGUAUGGCAUUCGUGAUUUCACCCCAUGAAUUGCAUUUAUUCUUACAUCUGCACUGCAUCAUAAAUAUACUUAAAUUUAUUUAUGUAUAUAUUAUGCACUAACCUUUUCAUUGUAUGUAAGAGGGGAUCUUAGUUAUUGCAUGCUUAUUCGAUUUCUCCUACCCAAUCAGUUAAACCUACCGGUACAUUUCAGUAUACUUAUGUUUCCUCCCUACAGAUCUAGCACAAGCACUCUCAUGUUGUAGUUAACUAAUUUGGGCAGAGUUUUCUUACCUUGUCCAUAUUACAAUGGUGAGACUCAAAUUAUCGGUUGCCUUCUGCUAUUAAGACCUUCUUUUGUUGUUCCUCCCAUAUCAGACUUGUAUUUUCUUUAUGAGACAACUUUGUAUUUACUUUUCAUACUUUUGAGUGCUCUUGUACUCAUUACUCCAUAUUUUGAAAAAUUUAAGUUGAAUGUUAUGGUUAUUUUAUUUUAGUUUUUCCUUCUUUAGUCGCAAUCUGGUUUUGGGUCGUUAAAAAUUUAGUUUCCGAGAUCUAGGUUCGUUGGAGUCAUGAGUAAGAGCAGGGUGUCUAGUAAAGUCUCGCAAAUAAAUAUGUAGACGUUCAUACCCAUCUUCAGCAGGUACAGGGCACUGAUAGGAAAAAUUUUAGUCCUCUUUCCAUUCGUGUACUUCUUCAUAUCAACUGUUUUGAAUGUAUCUAAUCUAGUCCUUCUACAGAUGUCGAUGACUAGAGCUCAAUAGUUGGUAGUGAGUCUGAGCCUGCUAAUAUGGCCUCCACCCGUGGUCGAGGUAGGGCUUAUGGUAGGGCCAGGGGUCAUGGACUUAGUAGAAGAGUAGCUUCACCUAGGGGACAGGAUAGAGUAGCUUCACCAUAGCCUGAGUAUGAGUUUGAGGGACCUACAAACCCUGUUCCAUCACCUUCAGUCCCAAAUGCCAAGCCUUCAGUUCAGAAACUACUUCUAUGUGUAUUGGCCAGACUUGAGAGAGCUUCUUCGACUCCCGUUAUUCUCGAUACACCAGUUCCUACAGUACCAGUUGUCCUUCUUCAACUCCAGUUAUUAAAAAGAUUAAAUAAAAGUUCGGUUCUUCAGUGCACCAAAGUUUUAAAAUCCUUAUACCGAAUCGAAAAACCAAACUUUUGAAAAAAAGAACAAUAAAAUUGAACAAAACAAACCAAAGAACUGAAAUCGAAGAGACGAAUUAGUUUGGUUCAAUUUGAUUUUUUUAUUUUUUGAUAUUUAUGCCCACCCCUACUUUGGAAUAAUCUUUAUACUGUUAGUUUCAAUUACAAUGGUCCUUGGCUUAUGUGUGGUGAUUUUAACCAAGUGAUGCAUCAAGAUGAGAAAUGAGGAGGGCGUCCUAUUAAUCCUACUAGAGCUAACAGUUUCUCUACUUACAUGCACAAUGCAGGCUCCUCGACCUAGGCAUUAAAGGGUCUAAAUUCACAAUUCCCCUUAUUUCCCCUCCAACCACUUCCUUAUUAAUCUGGAAAAAGAGCUUAGACAAGAAUAUGACAAUAUUUUACGCAUUGAAGAAGAUUAUUGGUGCAUGAGAUCUAGAAUUAAUUGGAUUAACGAUGGGGAUGCGAACAUUAAGUUUUUUCACCUCUGCAUCCUCAAUAGACAUAAGAUUAAUAGAAUCAUGAGCUUUGUUGACGAUAAUGGAAAUACAAUUACAGAUCAAACUUCUAUUUUAUCCUAUACUUUUGAGUAUUUUCAAAAUAUUUUUACUACCAUCCAUAAGGAACCUCCCAGAUAUUAUUUCCAUAAUCGCCUAUCUUUUCAUAAAAUUGACCUUUUUGUAUUGGACAAACCCCUCCAAGACACUGAAAUUAAUCUUGCUCUUAACUCUUUUCAUCCUUUCAAGGUGCUAGGCCCUGAUGGUCUUCAUCCCUUCUUUUACCAAAAUUAUCGAGACCUCCUAAGUUCUUCAGUUAAAAAGUUUUGUCAUGAAGUUUUUGAUAGUGGGCACAUUCCUGACGAAAUCAACCAGACUCACCUUCGUCUCAUCCCAAAGUUUGCCAACGCCAAUAAUCUGAAAAACUUUCAACUUAUUGGUCUUUAUAACACUAUUUAUAAAAUCAUCACCAAGAUCAUUGUAAAUCGUAUAAAACCAUUCCUUCCUAAUCUCAUCAGCCCCUUCUAAGCCAGUUUCAUUACUGGUAGGAACCCUUAGAUAAUGCCAUCAUUAUCCAAGAAAUUAUUAAAAAAGUUCGUAACUCCAAAGGGGCGAAAGGUAGUUUUAUGUUUAAAUUAGACCUCCAAAAGCUUUUGAUAAGCUUGAAUAGUCCUUUAUCCAUAGAACACUAAUAUAUUUCAAGUUCCCUCCCAAAAUCACCUCUCUUAUUCUCAAUUGUAUCACUAACAGUUCUAUUGCUAUUCUCAUAAAUGGUACUAGGACCAACUUUUUCAACCAACUAGAGGAAUCCGGCAGGGAGAUCUUAUGUCCCCUUAUAUAUUCAUUCUUUGCAUGGAAGUGCUCUCCAACAAUAUUAAUCACCAGGUGGACAUUCUCAACUAGAUCCCAUCAUGCUUAAUCCUAGGGGUCCCCAAAUCUCUCACCUCUCUUUUACAGACGACCUCACCCAUAUAGGUACAACUUCCAGUCACACCAUUUCUAGUAUACAUCACUAUAUGGAACUCUUUUGUAAUCUUUCUGGAAAGACUAUUAAUAGGACCAAGUCCAAGCUCAUUGUAUCCAAAAAUUGCUCCUCUAAUUUUCCCAAACUUAUUAAAGACUCCUUCAAUAUCAACCUCUCUUCUAAGUUUGGACGAUAUCUAGGCUAUCCUAUUUUUCAUAAAAAUUUGACUCCCAAGGAUUUUAAUUUUAUUUUAGAUAGUACGAACAGGAAAUUAGCAAGUUGGAAAACCAACUUUCUUACCCUGGCUAGUCGCACUACUUUGGCUAAAUCAACUCUUAACUCUAUUCUUACUUAUUACAUGACCUACUUCAACUAGCCUACGUCGACCCUAAGCAAAAUUGAUAAGAUCUAGUGAGACUUUAUUUGGGGUAGCACCAUUCUCAGGAGGAAAAUUCACUAUCUCAAUUGGGAGAUGAUUAUCAAACCCAAUAAAGAUGGAGUUGUUAAUCUUAUCAAAGCUAACCACAAAAAUAAAACCAUGCUUGGUAGCCUAGCUUGGAGACUUUUCUAAGAUUCAAAUCAGCUUUGGGCCAAGUGUCUGAUUAGCAAAUACUAUAAGAGGAACACCCUUUCAAACAAGGGCGCCUUUAUUUGGAAAAACAUCCUUAAGGGUUGGGAUACUUACAGCAAGGGUAUUAGUUGGGUCAUUACAAAUGGGAACAAUGUUAGUUUGUGGAACCAUAACUGGAUAUCCCCUAAUACGAACCUUAGAACCCUCAUUGAUGGCCCUCUCCUUAGAGAUGAUCCUCAUAAGAGGGUUGCAAAGUUAUCGAUAACGGUCUAUGGAACUUAAGAAAUCUCAUUUUUUUGCUGCCUGGCAAUAUUAUGGACCAUAUCACCUCUAUCACCAUCCAUAAGGAUAUGGGCCAGGAUUUUUUCAUUUGGUCUCCUAACCCGAAUGGCCUCUUCACUAGAGUUUCAUUAGGAAAAUAUUGCAACCUACCUCUAUUGGUUAUGGCUAUCAUUGGAUCUAGAAACUUAAAACUCUUAAUAAAAUUAAGUUUUUGCUAUGACAGUGCUCUCACCAUAGGAUUCCCACCAAUAUUUUUCUCCAUACUAUGCAUAUCAUUUCCAAUAGCUUAUGCCAAGUUUGUAAAGUUGAACUAGAGUGCCUGACCCACAUGCUUAUUCAAUGCCCCAUAGCAACUAGUUUUUGGGAUCACUAUCAAGUUAAUUUUGCAGAAGAAAUUACUGUCAACCUCGACUAUCUUUUAGCUAUCAAAACAAUAAUCAUGUCAUACCUAAUCCUCUUAUCAAAUGGGAGAUUUUUUUUCCUUUUGCCAUCUGGCACAUCUGGAAUGCUAACAUUUUCAAUGACAAACUCUCCCAUGAAUUACAACCACCUGAAACAUAAAGUCAUUGAGUUUACCUUCUCCUCUAACUCUAUAGUCCAUGUUUCUGCCCCUAGUCUCUUUGUUCUCAUCAAAGGUACCCUCCAUCCUCUGAAGCUCUCAAACUUAACAAUAAUGGUUCCUACAAUAGUACCACAAAGACAGGAGGCAUACGCGGUGUCUUUAGAGACUCUACAGGAUGAUGGAAGUUGGGAUUUCAUAAAAAAAUUUUGGCCGUCAACCAUACUCUAUGGAACUCAUGGCUCUUUUUCAUGGUCUCAAUAUUGCUAUGGAGUAACAUUUGUACCAUCUGAAAAUUGAAACUGAAUCUACUAAGGUAAUCCGUCUUAUACAUGAAAAUAUUAUCCACUUGUUUAACUUUCUAAUAUUCGAAUGCAGAUCAUUGUUAAAGAAAAUGGGGAAUUCGCGGAUCCACCACAACUUCUAUGAAGACAAUAAAGUAGCCAACCUCCUCGCAUCUCAGGCAGCACUUCUGGAAGACAUGGAUAAUGUAGUCCUUUUAUUGUACCCACCUCAGUGAUCAAGACGGACAUUAUAUGAAAAAAACAGUCCCCCUUACUAGUGCUACUAAUCUAGUUUCUAUGGCUAAUCUUACUAUCUGUAAUAUCAUGAAUAGCAAUAUGAAAGUGGGUAGCAGUAGCAACUGCAAUAUUAUGUGUACUAGGGAGGUGGAAAGCUAUGUAUUAACUACUUAAUAUGAAUAAAAUAUUUUUCGUUCAAAAAAAAAAACAUUAUUGUUUAUAUUUUAUUCUUUCAUUUUUCAAUUUGUGGAAUGAUUUUUAAUUUAUUUAUAUUAAUUUUCUAAUUAUAUUCAAAUCAUCAUGUAAAAAUUUAAUCAUAUAAAUAUUUAAUAUUUAUCACUUUUCAAUAAAUAACGUAUAAUGAUGAUNNNNNNNNNNNNNNNNNNNNNNNNNNNNNNNNNNNNNNNNNNNNNNNNNNNNNNNNNNNNNNNNNNNNNNNNNNNNNNNNNNNNNNNNNNNNNNNNNNNNNNNNNNNNNNNNNNNNNNNNNNNNNNNNNNNNNNNNNNNNNNNNNNNNNNNNNNNNNNNNNNNNNNNNNNNNNNNNNNNNNNNNNNNNNNNNNNNNNNNNNNNNNNNNNNNNNNNNNNNNNNNNNNNNNNNNNNNNNNNNNNNNNNNNNNNNNNNNNNNNNNNNNNNNNNNNNNNNNNNNNNNNNNNNNNNNNNNNNNNNNNNNNNNNNNNNNNNNNNNNNNNNNNNNNNNNNNNNNNNNNNNNNNNNNNNNNNNNNNNNNNNNNNNNNNNNNNNNNNNNNNNNNNNNNNNNNNNNNNNNNNNNNNNNNNNNNNNNNNNNNNNNNNNNNNNNNNNNNNNNNNNNNNNNNNNNNNNNNNNNNNNNNNNNNNNNNNNNNNNNNNAAGUGGGUAGCAGUAGCAACUGCAAUAUUAUGUGUACUAGGGAGGUGGAAAGCUAUGUAUUAACUACUUAAUAUGAAUAAAAUAUUUUUCGUUCAAAAAAACAAACAUUAUUGUUUUAUAUUUUAUUCUUUCAUUUUUCAAUUUGUGGAAUGAUUUUUAAUUUAUUUAUAUUAAUUUUCUAAUUAUAUUCAAAUCAUCAUGUAAAAAUUUAAUCAUAUAAAUAUUUAAUAUUUAUCACUUUUCAAUAAAUAACGUAUAAUGAUGAUGAUAAUAAUAAUAAUAAUAAAUUUUUUGAUAUAAUUAGUUGCAGGUAAUAAAAGUUUUUGUAAAUUUUAAUAAAACUUUUGAUACGUCGAAUUUGAGGUUAAUGUUAUCGAUUUGAGUACAUAAAUUUAUUUUUCGUUAUUAGUCUCUUAUUACCAGGAGCAAAUAAAGAAACAAAAAAAUUUAAAGAAAUAAUAAUUUUAUAUUAAUAUAAUUAAAUUUGUUAAAUAAUAAUUUUACGUUAUAUAUUAAAACAUAAUUUUAAAAUAAAUUAUAUAUCAAUAUAAUUAAAUUUUAAUAUAAUGAUUUAAAUAUAAUUAUAAAUCAAUCCAAAUAAAUCAAAACUCAUUCCACAAAUAAAAAUAUAAAAAUCAUAGCGUAUAAAACGUAAAAUAAAAGCCACUUUUAAGUGGAGGAAAAUUGUGAGGACUUUCUCACCAUAUAUUAUUCUCCAACUGAGUUCAUCUCUUCCUCAAUUAACUAUGCAAAUACAGAAAACAUUGUUACUCAUGUAGUAAAAGACAUUGUUAAGCAGUAAUUCUUAUACUUGAAAAGAAAAAGAUAAACAAGAGAAAUCUUUGACUCGUUUGGACAAAUAUUUGUCUAUAUUAAAUAUAUGUCGGUAAUAAUUUUUGACUAGGUCAAUGUAGCUAAUAUUUUAUAAAAUAUUAAUUUAGCUUAACUAAUGGAAUCUUAUAAGCAGAUUACUAAUAAUUUUACCUUUGCCGGUGAUUAAAUUAUCGCUAAUAAUUAAUGUUUUUCCAAUUAAAAUGUCAAGAGUCAUAGGAUGAACCAAAUGAACUCGACCAUAUACAAAUCUAGAAUACAAUUUUUGAAUAGGGGCUUUUUUUAACAUAUAAAUUUAAAAUGAAAAAAGAUGCACGUAUUUUGUUUGUUAGGUAGAUAAAAAUUCAAAAUAAAUAUAAAACAGGAAGAAACGAGUAUAAUAAUUUGAGAAAUAAAAACAGGUACCGUCAAAAAUCGAUGCAAAUCAAUUGUAUUUACAAUUAUAUUAAUUAUUUAUUCAAAGUUUAAAGGCACAAAGUAAAAACUUUCUAAAAAAAGCGUUGAACCAAAUUGAUUCUUUUAUAAUUCUAUUUCUCAAGAUACAACGUGUUCUCAAAUUUUAAAGAAAAGAACUAAAAAAAACUCUGUAAGUUUCAACAUUUUAAUUAUCUUUUUUUAUUAAUAAAAUAAUAAGGAUCCGCUUCAUCAUGAAAAUUUUAGUUAUGAAGGCAAUACUAAUAUAAAAAUGAAUUACAUAUGGAAAAAUCUUUUAUAGGAGGUGUUAAUCUUGAAUGAGUGUUGUCUAAUGUAGUUUCGGAUUAAACGCGUUCAAAUACAGAUACUAAAUAACAAAUGAAGAAAUAUAGAUACUAAAUAACAAAUGAAAAAGCUAUGUAGUGGAGUAAUUAAACUAGGAGAGGUUGAUUACUUCUCCCAUACAAAAUAAAUACGGAAAAAAGAUAUAAAAACUGAAUUACAUAUGGAAAAAUCUUUUAUAGGAGGCGUUAAUCUUGAAUGUGUGUUAUCUAAUGCAGUUUCAGAUUAAACGCACUCAAAUACAGAUAUGAAAUAACAAAUGAAGAACCACAGAUACUAAACAACAAAUGAAGAAACUAUGUAGUGGAGUAAUUAAACUAGGAACUUGGAGAGGUUGAUUACUAUUGGAAGUCUACCAUAUUGUGAUUGUAGUUAGUAGUAGGUUAAGUAGUUGAUGAUGUAGCUAAUGAAUAUGUUAGUUAGUUAAAGUGUUAGUUAGAGAAGAAAUUGUAUGUAGGUAUACAUAUAGUAGUUAGAGUGAUUUUUCAUUAAUAUAUAUAUAUAUAUAUAUGUAAAGUACUGUACAGAUGAAAUAUACAGAACAUUUCUUUCUCUCCAAUCCUCUUCUUCUCUGCGAUCUUUCUCUCUCAAUUCUCUCAACUCUUUUCAUGGUAUCAGAGCGGGAGUGAGGCAUUCUUUGAUCCCUCAGCUCACUCGAUCAAUUGUCAAUAGUAAUCGAUCAAUUCGAUGGCGACGAUGGCGGAUUCGACUACCAAUGCAACUGCCGAAACAGCAGAGCAAGUGGAAACCCUAGAUCAUGUUGAGAGAAGGAGGAAUCACCCUCUGUAUCUGCACAACUCUGACACUCCAGGAAGCAUUCUCACAAGUGUUCAAUUGACAGGAACGGAGAACUAUUCACUGUGGAGUAGGUCGAUGUUGAUUAAUCUCCGAGCCAAGAGCAAAUUGGGCUUUGUGCUUGGAACCUGUUAGAAGGGCGAUUACAGAGGAGAGAUGGAGGAGCAGUGGGAAAAAUGCAAUGCAUUUGUGCUUGCAUAGAUAAUGAGCACGGUCUUAAAGGAGCUUCUCAGCAGCAUUGUUUUAUGCUACUGAUGCGACGAUGGUCUGGGCUGACCUAAAGGAGAGGUUCGACAAGGUAGACGGAUCUAGAUGUUAUCAAUUGCAUCGGGACAUCUGCACACUUAGUCAAGGUACAAUGUCGGUCUCUGCAUAUUUCAGUAAGUUCAGAUUAUUGUGGGACGAGUUUGAUGCAGUGGUUCCACCACCAUCAUGUAAUUGUAACAAGUCUAGAUCCUAUAUUGAUCAUAUUGCUUGCCUGAGAUUAUUUGCAUUCCUGAUGGGGUUAAAUGAAGUAUACACUCAUGCACGCAGUCAGAUUUUGAUUAUGAAUCCUUUGCCUACUGUGCGAAAGGCAUAUGUCAUAAUUAUGGCAGAUGAGAGUCAGAGAUUGACUGCCAGUUUAAACAUAGGGAAUGUCAUGCCAGAACAGCUUGCUUUGUAUGCAGGGAAGGGACAACUUCCUAAGAAGUUUCAGCCUAGGAAGAAGAAUUGGGAUUAGAUUUGUGGCUACUGCAAGCUACAAGGUCAUAUAAAAGAGGAAUGCUACAAGUUGAAUGGCUAUCCACCUGACUGGAAGUUCAAGAGAAAGCCAGGGACACCAGCAAACUCAAUGCGACAUAAUAGGUACCAGGACACAGUGAAUACAGUGAACCAUGUGCCUACUGCUAGGACUAAAAUGGAGUUAAGGGAUGGCUUUGUACCUAUUGAUACUAUGAUGAAAGGAAAGAGUACAGAGGCAGAUACAUCACUGCACACACAACCAACUUUUACUCCAAGUCAAUAUAACAAGAUCCUAUAUAUGUUGGAGAGGGAGGAAUCAGGCACAAGCACAGGCAAAACAUCAGAUGCUAUGGCCAAUAUGGCAGGUAUGACUACUGCUUUAUCUGCUAAAUCUGAUAACACACAGUUCAGGGCAGACACAGGAAAAGAAAGUUGGAUAGUUGAUUUAGGGGCUAUAUAUCAUAUGACUUGCAAAUAGGAUAGGCUCUCUCAUGCAUAUAGUUGUGUCAAUAAGGUAGUGCAUUUACCUAAUGGUGAGGUUGCACAGGUGUCACAAACUGGUCUUUGUAACACAAUGCAUGGGAAGACAUUAGACAAUAUAUUGGUGGUGCCUGCUUUCAAGCAUAAUCUACUCUCAGUGUCUAAGUUGACAAGGCAAUUACAUUGCUCAGUUAACUUCUUUCCUGAGUUUUUUGUGCUUCAGGAUCUCUCUACUGGAAGGGUGAAGGGGAUUAGUAAAGAGAAUGGAGGACUUUAUUAUCUUCCAGCUACAUCACCAUGUGAAGAUACUACUGACAAAGGGAAUCAAGCUGUGAUGACUGCUACCUUAAAGUGCUCUAGCAGGGAUAAGAUAUUAUGGCACAGAAGGUUGGGUCAUCCAUCUAGAUAGGCAUUGCAGCACCUGUUCCUAGACAAGCAUAUUAGUAAGAAUAAUAAUUGUAAUAAGUGUUUUAUUUGCUCACUUGCCAAACAAACUAGACUGCUCUUUCCAUUGAGCAUGACUAGGGCAUUAGCUAAGUUUGAUUUGAUCCAUUUGGAUGUGUGGGGACCUUAUAGAGUUGCUACUCACAAUGGUUUUAGAUUCUUUUUAAUAAUUGUUGCUGACUAUUUAAGAAUAUGCUGGUUGUACCUAUUGAAGUUGAAAAGUGAUGUAUUUUCAAUAUUGAAAUCUUUCUUAGCAAUGGUGAAAACUCAGUUUGGCAGUAAUGUGAAGAGGGUAAGGAGUGACAAUAGUACAGAAUUUUUAAAUAAUGACUGCUGUAAUCUGUUUCAGUCCCUUGGUAUUAUUCAUGAAAGUAGUUGCCCUCAUACUCCACAGCAAAAUGGAGUGGUUGAGAGAAAACACAGACAUAUCCUUGAGGUGGCUAGGGCCAUUAGAUUUCAAGGUCAUAUUCCCAUCAGAUUUUGAGGGGAAUGUGUAUUGAUUGCUGUGUAUCUGAUCAAUAGACUUCCUACUUCAGUCUUACAAGGAAAGUCUCCAUUUGAGUAAUUUGAUAGGACUAGACCAAACCUUGAUCACUUGAGAGUCAUUGGUUGUCUGUGUUAUGCAACCAACAUGGUCAAGCAUGACAAGUUUUCUCCUAGAGCAGAGGCCUGUGUGUUGAUGGGGUAUUCACCAACUCAGAAGGGAUACUUGUUAUACAGUUUAUCACAGAAGAAUUCAUUGUUAGCAGUGAUGUGAUAUUCAAGGAGGAUAUGUUUCCAUUCACUCAGGUGCACAACAAGCAGCAAGAACCAUUAUUCCCUGCAGAACCAGUCCUAUUAUCAGAUGAUAUUUCUAUUCUUGAUGAAGAUAGACUCCCUGCACUUAAUCCAGUUGAUGACAUAGAGGACCCCAUAGCCUUGAGUGAUGCACUAAAACUAUAGAAGACUGAUAGUGAUGGAAAUUCUGUUGCUCAACCUGAUGAUGAUGUUGUGAUUGAAGUAGAGGCUCAACCUAGUAGUGUGGAGAUUGACGAAGAGGCUUCAGUCAGAAAAUCCACCAGGAUUUCUCAUCCUCCUAUAUGGAUGAAGGAUUAUUUGCCACAAGCAUCCAAGUCAUAUUAUUUUCAUGAACCUAAGAAUUUUGAAGAAGCAAUCAAGGACAAGAGAUUGGUAUAUGCUAUGCAACAAGAGGUUCAAGCACUAGAGGAGAAUGAAACAUGGGAAAUAGUUGAAUUACCUCAAGGGAAGAAUAUUGUAGGGUGUAAGUGGGUGUUCAAAAUCAAAUAUAAGGCUGAUGGACAAGUUGACAGGUUCAAGGCUAGGCUGGUAGCCAAGGGGUACAGUCAGGCUGAGGGCAUUGACUAUCAGGAAACAUUUUCUCCUGUAGUCAAGAUGACAACAGUCAGGACUGUUAUAGCCAUAGCUGCUGCUCAAAGAUAGAACAUCUUUCAAAUAGAUGUUUUCAAUGCCUUUCUACAAGGAGACUUGCUUGAGGAAGUCUAUAUGGAGUUACCAAAAGGAUUCUAUGGAGCUGAGAAGAGUAAAACCUUGUAUGUAAGCUAGUAAAAUCACUUUAUGGACUUAAACAAGCCUCUAGACAGUGGAAUGCUAAGCUGGCUGAGGCACUUCUAAGCUCAGGAUAUUCACAAAGUCAUUUGGACUACUCUUUAUUCACAAAGAAGAAGGAGGACAGAAUGGUGAUAGCAUUGGUGUAUGUAGAUGACCUUCUGAUCACAGGAAAUGAUGCAGUACUAAAUACAAAAACCAAACACACUCUACACAGCCACUUCAAGAUUAAGGACUUGGGGGAGCUUAAGUAUUUCUUGGGCAUUGAAUUCAUGAGGUCCAGUGAGAACUAAGCCUUACAUAAUACCUUUAGACUGCACAUAGAAGUUGACAAGUGUUGAGAUUGAUUCAAAAUCAGACAGCCUAUAUGAGGAUGUGCCAAGAUAUCAGAGACUGGUAGGCAAGCUGCUUUAUCUCACAAUUACCAGGCCCCGAUAUAGGUUUUGUAGUGCAGUUGUUGAGUCAAUUUAUGCAGAAGCCUAAGGUGUCACAUUGGAAGGCUGCUUUAAGGGUAAUCAGGUACAUAAAGUUGGAACCUGGAAAAGAGUUGCUCAUGAGAUCAAGUCAGACAUUCCAACUCACUGGCUAUUGUGAUGCAGAUUGGGCUGCAUGCCCAAGCACAAGGAGGUCAAUUACUGGUUUCAUUCUCAAGUUUGGUGGUUCUCCUAUCUCUUGGAAGUCCAAGAAGCAAAACACAGUUUCUAGAAGCUCUACAGAAGCAGAGUACAGGAGUGUUGCAUCUUUGACAGCUGAAGUUGUGUGGGUUGCAAGGUUAUUCAAGGAAUUAGGUGUCAUACUGAUAGAGCCAAAACUGAUUUACUGUGACAACAAAUCAGCCUUGCAAAUUGCUGCCAAUCUUGUGUUCCCUGAAUGUACUAAACAUAUCGAAAUAGAUUGUCACUUUAUUAGAGAGAAGAUACAACAAGGACUCAUCAAAACAGUGUAUAUCAGUAGCAAAAAUUCAGCAGGCCAACCUACUCACUAAGGCAUUAGGCCGGACAUAACAUGAUCUUUUAUUGAGCAAGCUUGGAUUGUUGAAUAUCUUCAAUGCAUCCAGCUUGAGGGGGAGUAUUGGAAGUCUACCAUAUUGUGAUUGUAGUUAGUAGUUGGUUAAGUAGUUGAUGAUGUAGUUAAUGAAUAUGUUAGUUAGUUAAAGUGUUAGUUAGAGAAGAAAUUGUACGUAGGUAUACACAUAUUAGUUAGAGUGGUCUUUCAUUAAUAUAUAUAUAUAUAUAUAUAUAUAUAUAUAUAUAUAUAUAUAUAUAUAUAUAUAUAUAUAUAUAUAUAUAUAUAUAUAUAUAUAUAUANNNNNNNNNNNNNNNNNNNNNNNNNNNNNNNNNNNNNNNNNNNNNNNNNNNNNNNNNNNNNNNNNNNNNNNNNNNNNNNNNNNNNNNNNNNNNNNNNNNNNNNNNNNNNNNNNNNNNNNNNNNNNNNNNNNNNNNNNNNNNNNNNNNNNNNNNNNNNNNNNNNNNNNNNNNNNNNNNNNNNNNNNNNNNNNNNNNNNNNNNNNNNNNNNNNNNNNNNNNNNNNNNNNNNNNNNNNNNNNNNNNNNNNNNNNNNNNNNNNNNNNNNNNNNNNNNNNNNNNNNNNNNNNNNNNNNNNNNNNNNNNNNNNNNNNNNNNNNNNNNNNNNNNNNNNNNNNNNNNNNNNNNNNNNNNNNNNNNNNNNNNNNNNNNNNNNNNNNNNNNNNNNNNNNNNNNNNNNNNNNNNNNNNNNNNNNNNNNNNNNNNNNNNNNNNNNNNNNNNNNNNNNNNNNNNNNNNNNNNNNNNNNNNNNNNNNNNNNNNNNNNNNNNNNNNNNNNNNNNNNNNNNNNNNNNNNNNNNNNNNNNNNNNNNNNNNNNNNNNNNNNNNNNNNNNNNNNNNNNNNNNNNNNNNNNNNNNNNNNNNNNNNNNNNNNNNNNNNNNNNNNNNNNNNNNNNNNNNNNNNNNNNNNNNNNNNNNNNNNNNNNNNNNNNNNNNNNNNNNNNNNNNNNNNNNNNNNNNNNNNNNNNNNNNNNNNNNNNNNNNNNNNNNNNNNNNNNNNNNNNNNNNNNNNNNNNNNNNNNNNNNNNNNNNNNNNNNNNNNNNNNNNNNNNNNNNNNNNNNNNNNNNNNNNNNNNNNNNNNNNNNNNNNNNNNNNNNNNNNNNNNNNNNNNNNNNNNNNNNNNNNNNNNNNNNNNNNNNNNNNNNNNNNNNNNNNNNNNNNNNNNNNNNNNNNNNNNNNNNNNNNNNNNNNNNNNNNNNNNNNNNNAUAUAUAUAUAUAUAUAUAUAUAUAUAUAUAUAUAUAUAUAUAUAUGUAAAAUGUGUACUGUACAGAUGAAAUAUACAUAACAUUUCUUUCUCUCCAAUCCUCUUCUUCUCUGAUAUCUCUCUCUCUCAAUUCUCUCAACUCUCUUCAAUUACUUCUCUCAUAUAGAAUAAAUACAAGAAAAAGAUAUAAAAUUUUCUCUGAAUUUAUCUCAAGAAGUCAGUUACAUGUUUAAAUUGUUAUGAUGAUCUACUACACUUAUUUACUAUUUAAAAGUAAAUUUAUUUACUUCCUAACAGUUUAGAUGGUUGUUAUAUAUAUAUUGUUUCAUAAUGUAUUGUACUGUGUUGUAAUGUAUUGUACUGUAUUAUUUUAAUAGAUACAAUGUUUGGACAAAUUGUAUUAUUCUCCAUUAUUACAUAAUGUCAUACAUUCAUAAUUUGGAUGAUAAACCUACAAGAAAUUGUAGGUAUGUAGUAGAUAUCAUGAAAAUAUAGGAUAAAUAAUAAAAUAGAAUUAUUAAAUAAUAAAUAAAGUAAAAAAUGAGAAGAUAUUAUUAAAGUAACGACACAACCACACCAAAUCGGUUGUUACAUAAAAUGGGUCUCUUUCCAUCGUUACUUAACAAUGAAUUUAAACGAUACAAUACAAUAAAAUUUAAAUAAUAAUCAGAACAAAUAUGAUUUUUAAACGAACAAUCAAUACAAUACAAUGGGUAAUAAUCAUCCAAACAAGGGGUAAAACUAUCGUGGCAAAAAGUGAAAAAAAAAUUACAAAACGCAUUUGGUAAAAAUAAAGUUCAAAAAAUAAAUCAAAAUCAUCUUUCCACCCCCUCUUCCUUCACCCCCAACCCCACGCCUCUUCUUCACACCCCACCGAGGUCGUCAUCUUCUUCUUCAUUUUUUCGAAAAAAUUUUCAUCACCUUUCAUGCUUCGAUUUUCAUUAGCCCCAUCCCACCCCACUCACCCUCGCCUCCCCCAAAAUCCUCUGCCCCUCUCACGUAUCAUAUCUUAUUUUAAUUUUUAUUCGAUUUUAUCAUCUCCAUUAUACUUGAUUUUUCUCUUCGACUUUAUUGUUGAUUGAUAAAAUUGAUGAUUAAGUUUAAAAAAUAAAAUAUAAUGAUGGAUUUGUUGGUAAUGGGUGGUAUAUGGUGGUGAAAAGGAAGAAAUUGAUAUUAAUAAAGGUGGCAUGGUGAUAUUUGGUAAGAAAUUGAUAUUAAUAAAGGUGGCAUGGUGAUAUUUGGUGAUGAAUUUGUACUUUUUGGCAGUGAUUAUGUGAUUGUGGUGAGGCAUUCGACUAUGAGUAGCAUUGAAUUUGAUGGUGGUUAUUUACAAUUUUUGUGGGAACACGGAUGAUAGUGCUAUUUUGAUAGUGGAUUUGAUCGCAGAUGAUGAAUUUGUGGCGGCUAUUUUAAUUUAUGGUGAAAUAUAUGAAUUUGGUGCUAAUAUAGUGGCAAUGGGAGUAGUUUCAUGGUGGUGUCAUUGAAGAAGAAGCAAAUGAAUUAAUGACAUGGAGAAUUUUUUUUAAAUCUAACAUGGCAUUUGACAUGACAUGAGAUGAAUUAAUAUGGUGUAAGCGCGAUACACUUCCUAUUGUAAGAAUGAUGUUAUAUAUCUCUGGAUAUAAAUAAGUUCACUUUUGAAUAAUAUAGAUAUGUAAUAGAUAACUAUGAUUGUUUAAGCGUAAAAAUAAUUUUUUGAGACAAAUUCAAAAAUAAAUUUAUGUUUUUUUCCAAAUAAAUACGUGUUGAUGUAUGCAAGUGCGGGAGCAGCUAGUCCUGACUUCCAUGAAAUUCAUAGGGGCAACUCUAUGCUUCAAAAAAUAAGGCAUAUGACUUAGGCCUUCAAUUUUUGAGGCCCUAACUUUUUUUUAUUAAAAAUUAACGUCUUAAUCUUUUUUUAGAAAAAAAUAAUUGCUUAUAAACUUUUUAUCAAACUUUAUGAUCUUAGCUCAUAUUUUUAAUUAAAAUUUUUUGUCAAUUUAUUACUUAUAGAAUUAUAUUAGCAAUUAAUGUAACGAUUGUCUCAAAGUGGAAGGAUAUGUUUUAAUAUUAAAUUAAUAAAAUCUCACCUAACACUAAUAAUUUAAAAAAUAUAGAUAUUCGGAAAAAAAAUAUUAAGUAAUAAUGUACACCUAAAAAGUUAGAAAAAUAAAUACACAUGAAGUUUAUUUAGAUAGUUGGCCUCUAAUUAAAAUUUUAUUUUAGAUCUUCAAUUACGUUAAAUCAUGACUUCAGAAAGUUUAAUUGACUACUCUUUAAAUUUGAGUCGAGUCUGAACAAUAUAAGCAAUUACAGUAACUAGAGUUCAAGAGAUUUACUUUAUAUCUACCUUGUGUGUUCCAAUGAUGAUAAACUAAAUACUAAAAUGUUUAGAGAUAUUGUAUUGAAUUAUAUAAGUUUUCAGUGAGCUACAUAAUCACGUGAAGUAAAAAGAAAGAACUAAAAGUGCUCACAUGCACGGUUUACUCUAGAUUAAACUCUUAAACAAUAACCAAUUAUUUCUCUUAAUAUGGUAUAUAUAUUAUUGUUUUAUAGAAUCCACAAGAAUUGAUACUAGAAUUAAUACUCCAAAUAUAAAGUGCAAAAAAAAAAAAAAAGUGCACUAAUUUCUAUAAAUAAAAUCGUGCGAAGUUGAGGGAUCCACGCAUUUUUUUUCAACGAUUCUAUACAUAAUUGUAAAAGAUGAGAGGAGAAAGAAGACUUUCUAGUUCUUUGAAUUAUUGCAUAUCACAAGAAGAAACUAGUAUGGCUAUCUUAAUAGUUUAUACAUUUGCUUGGCUUGCAGCCUCUGUCCAACAAAUAAAGUAUACCAACAAAAGUCAAAUUAAGCUGACAACAUGACAAACCAACUAUCAAAAUGGGUAACUCUAGCCUUUUACCUACAUUUAUAUGAAAUUCUUGAUAAGGGUAAUUGUCUAAAUGAAAGCUAUAUAAAGGGGAUUUGAGUGAAGCUUAAGAGGACAACAAACUUUUCUUUGUUUCAAAUAUGGGGAAAAUGGCCUCUCUAUUUCCCACUCUUUUAGUUGUUUUAGUGUCACUUAGCUUAGCUUCCGAAAGCUCCGCAAAUUAUCAAUACUCAUCUCCUUCACCACCAAAGAAGCCAUACCAUCCGUCACCUACACCUUAUCAUCCAACACCUAUUUACAAAUCAUCACCGCCACCAACUCCAGUUUACAAGUCACCACCACCACCCAAGAAGCCCUACUACCCUCCACAUACCCCAGUUUACAAGUCGCCACCUCCUCCAUCCACACCGGUUUACAAGUCGCCGCCACCACCGAAGAAGCCAUACUACCCUCCACACACUCCAGUUUAUAAGUCUCCACCACCACCAACUCCCGUUUACAAGUCACCUUCACCACCAGAGAAGUCAUAUCAUCCUGCACCAGUAUAUAAGUCUCUACCACCUCCAACUCCAAUUUACAAAUCACCACCACCACCAGUGAAGCCAUACCAUCCUACACCAGUAUACAAGUCUCCACCACCACCAACUCCAGUUUACAAGUCACCACCACCACCAGUGAAGCCAUACCACCCUGCUCCAGUAUACAAGUCUCCACCACCACCAACUCCAGUUUACAAGUCACCACCACCACCGGUGAAGCCAUAUCACCCUUCUCCAGUAUACAAGUCUCCACCACUACCAACUCCAAUUUACAAGUCACCACCACCGGUAAAGCCAUACCACCCUGCACCAGUAUACAAGUCUCCACCACCACCAACUCCCAUUUACAAGUCACCACCACCACCAGUGAAGCCAUACCAUCCUGCACCAGUAUACAAAUCUCCACCACCACCAACUCCCAUUUACAAGUCACCACCACCACCAGUGAAACCAUAUCAUCCUGCACCAGUACACAAAUCUCCACCACCACCAACUCCCAUUUACAAGUCACCACCACCACCGGUGAAGCCAUACCAUCCUUCACCAACA